This 70880-nucleotide long non-coding RNA is filed under the name Eucalyptus grandis. Its description in RNAcentral is "long non-coding RNA (EGRA_LNC004129)". Lineage: Eukaryota; Viridiplantae; Streptophyta; Magnoliopsida; Myrtales; Myrtaceae. The record is from RNAcentral.
GCGCUUGUACCUUGCAUCACAUUAUAUUAAAUGUUCUAUGAGGUUGCACUCCAGAGAGUUUUUUUUUUGUCAAAACACUCUAGAGAAGUUUAAACAGUCGAGAAGGAGAACCUAGUCACACGUAUACUUUUUACAUAAUACAGUCUAAUAGUUCAGGCUGCACAAAAUUAUAUCUUUACCCAUUCUAGGCCCGAUUUCCCAUCUGGUGUGUUGCUCUGUUGAAGUUCCAAGUAAUCCUUGUACUUCAUCUAGUUGUCCACGGCUCAGUUGUUCUCACCAUCCACCAGCUGCUCCACUGGCAUGACAACAAUGUCUAGCGACGGUCCACUAGAUAGAGAGAUUGAUAGCCUUGUUCAUGACAGCUCGAUGCAGAAUGCUCUUGUAUUUCCCAUUGCUCAUAGCCUUGCGUGAAAAGUGCUGAGAAAAAGAAAAAGUUAGUUGCAAAUAAGCUUUAUGGUAACAAGAAGAACUAUAUGUACCAUAGUUUAUGUGUAAUAACAAUGUCCCUUCCAUGAAGACCCUUGUCGUAUCUGCAUCUAUAAACCAAGGCACACUUUACACUUCACACACCAAAAUUUGAAACAAAUUGGACCUCUCUUGCAAAAUUUAUGGGGGGAGAUUUGAAAGAUGAAACAUUAAUUCCUAUCUAUGUACCUCGAGGUGACCACCAGUGUUGGCCAAAAAGGCGUUUGGAAUGGGAUCGACUUCGACCCACUUCUAGCCGAGGUGCACUUGAAGGCCACCAAUUCCAUUCUGCAUGAGGAUGGUCAAUAGGCCCGUCCAGGUGUCAGACCAUGCCCAUAGCUCGUUCCGGCUGCGGGCACAGCGGAUACUGAUUCGCCAUUAAUAUCUGUAAGCUUGAAUCCAUGUUCACUGCCUUGUUGAUAUAGCCUAUGUAGCACGGACACUCUCCGGAAGCUUUCAUAUCGUGUCCGACACUCCGACACGUAUCCAACACGCAAUCAACGAGUGUUGAAAAAUCUGACACGUGGUCAACUCUCUCCGACGCGCGAGUCCAGAAUUUCGACACGUGAUUCCAAUACACAUUGGGUCAAUUUAAAAAUUUCUAAUACUUGAGGGGACAAAAUAUAAAUAUACACAAAAGAAGUAAUAAAAGAAGUAUAAAAUUGCUAUAAAUAUACACGCACGGGGUCAAUUAUUUUUUUCAGUUUUGUUUUUUUAAUAAUUGUUUUAGUUUUUUUAAAAGUCUUUUACUAUGAAAGAAGUAAUAAAAAAUGAUAUAUAUGAUAAAUAAAUAAAUUUAAAAAUAUCAUUUCUACAUUUUUCUUUAAAUAAUGUUUUUUUCCUCUAAGUUUUAUGUAUUGUUGUAACAAAUUAAAAUAAUGAAUGAUAUUAUUUAAUAUUUUUUGUGUAAAUUAAUUCUAUGCUAUUAUUAUUAUUAUUAUUAUUAUUAUUAUUAUUAUUUAAAUAUGUAUUUAUACAUAAAAAUAUAUUUAAUAUAUAACAUGUUGAAACGUGUCGAAAUUCUAUAUUUUAAGAAAUGAUGUGUCGGUGUGUCGUAUUGUGUCGUGUCGCAUGUCGCGUGUCCGUAUCGGUGCUAUGUAGGAUAUAGCCCAAUUGGAGUCCUGGGAUUUAUCAUAUACCCUCACGGAGUUCCCGAAACAAUUUCUGGUCCACCCCUGAGUACUCUCCUAAAAAUUCACUGCAACAAACAUUGCUUUCAUCCAUCAGAGGAAAUGCCACGGUGGUGUUCUUUUCAUCUGUAGGGACGUCGACAGUUAGUGUUAAUCUUUUAUCUGGUGCGUUACUAGUUGUCUUGCUCUACCAAAUUGAAUCCUUACUUGGUUGAUUAUCUCUAGUGUACAAAAUUGUUAUUGUCUAACAUCAAGAUUGUGAGAUUUUGCGGGACACAUUUUUAAAAAAAAAAAUUAAGCUGAACGCAUGAUUUAUUAUUUGAAUAUUUUAACACUCCCUUUUAUACUUAAUUUGGUCUUUUGCCUAGUAUUAAGUGUAGAAAUUAAAUUUGAGAAAUAAAAUGGGGUCUAAAAAUAUUCAAACUCAGAACCUCAAGCUUUGAUACCAUGAAAGUUUUUGUGGGAUUAUAUCCAAUUAUUCUAAAAGCUUAUACUAAUAGAUGAAUAUGUUGUUUAUUAUUUAAAUAUUUUAACAAGGAUGAUCCAAAAUAAUGAUAUCUUAACAUAAGAAUCAUGUAGUUUCUAUUGCUAUGUUUCAAUUCCCCGGACAAGUUUAUGAGCAAAGAAACCCGUUUGAUAACGACUCAAAAUUUCUAUUUCUGAAACAGAAAUCUGUUUGAUAACAGCACAAAAUUUCUAUUUCUAAGAAUAGAAAUUGAUUAAAUAACAAUAUAUGAAAUCCUCAAAUACAAAAUAAUAAUGGAAAUAAUACUAAAACAACAUAGGAAAUCCUCAAAUACAAAAUGAUAGUAGAAAUAAUACUAAUAUUGAAAAUACAAUUUCAUGGAAUUUCCGGCAUAUUAUUAUCCCUUGCCAUUUUAUUAGCAAUCGUUUUCCUAUGCGUAUUUAUUUGGUUUCCCUCCUCGGUCAAUGUAUCAUUUGCAAGCUCAUCCUACGUAGGUUCAGACAAGUACUGCGGAAGCAUGAAUAUGGGUGACAUCAAUGACGCCUAUACAACCUUGCCAUUUUAUCAAAAACUAGUAUUAUACAAGAUUAUCAACAAAUUAAAAUUAAUGGUGUAAAGAAAUAUAUGAGAAUAUUACCAUAAAGUAACGUUUAUGGUUAGGAACCAAUCGGAGGAAGGUCGAUUUAUUUUGAUUCUCGAAUUGAAUUUCCAGUUGCUCAUCCCUAAUUUUUUUAUUGUUGUUCAAUAAACCUUUAAUGGCCCUUUCAUAGCAAAGAGAGAGAUUCUCUUGAAUCUCUUGCAUUCAAAUUAAAAUUCAAGAUUGUGUAACAAUCUAAUUAUUUUGAUUUUGCAAGAAUUUUGAAUCCGUAAAAAAAAUAAGGUUAAAUUUUUAGGCACGUUUUUUAUUCAUCUAUUACGUAAGAACUUUUUCUUCAAUUGGCCAUGCGCGUGCUUUUUCUAGGAGGAAAGAGCCUCAUUGUUUUUAAGUAAGCAUUUAAGAACUUUGGUCGUUUUUGAAAAUUGGGGACCAUUCGAUUGCCUUUCAUCCUAAAGAGUAAGUUAUAAAAAAAAUGCAAAAAAAAAAUAAAAAUAAAAAUAACACAAGCAAAAAGAAAAUUAGCAAUAAUUUGUGAAGUUGUGGUUAUGAGUGAAUUAAGUUAGCAAGAAAGCGCAAGGUUCUUUUAUAUGGUUUGAUUUCAGUUUCUGAUUUCUAUUUCAAAAACUGAGAAGUUAAAAAUUUCAGCUUUUGGUUUCUUUAAUUUCUCUAUUUCUGGAAUAGAAAUCUGUUUCAGAAAUAGAGAAAUCAAAUUGCGUUACCAAACGGAUUUCUGUUAUAAACCUGUUCCGGGGAACAGAGAAAUAGAGAAAUCGAGAAACAUAAAUUUUGUCAUGCAUGCCCUAGAUGUCUGGGUCAGUAUAGAUCUACUAUACAAAAUUAACAAACCGGAGCCAAAAAUGCUAAAGAGCGACUCAGAUGGAUAGAAGUUGCUCAAAUUCAAACGACGUCAUUUCCAAACUCUCUUUCUCUUUCUCUCUCUUCUUGUUACUUAAGUGGUCACUUUAAAAAUAUAUAUAUAAAUUUAAAAAUUUAUAGCUAUGAAACAAUCACUCUUGAAGUUAUUAGAACUUUUGUUGUCCUUCAACACACGUUCAAGCAAUGUUGUUUGCCUUCUCAAGUGUUGACUUCAACUUACUAAAAUGCCAUGUUGAACGAUAUAUUAUAAAUUAAUGCCACGUUGACUCUUGUCGAUGGCACUCAAGUAAACGGAAAAAAAAAAAGUUAUAGCAUUCAAAUAAGCGUCGUACAAAAGUUAUGACACUCUUAGUGUACUUAUCCCAAUGCCCCCACCACCUCGUGACAGAAGUGACAAUGACAUUCCGUGGUUGUUGAAAGAGGAAAUGACUUUUACACUGUUUAUGAUGCAUUGAACUGUUCAAUCCACUCCUCCAGCCUUGUCCAUGCAAGCCCUUUCACUCGCUUUUAUGAAGGGUCGGAAGACUAAAAAAUCCCUUAACCCAUUCUGAUUGUCUACUUGACAUGAUAUGGUUAUUUGAUGCAAACGAGUGUCGCGACCCGCCCUCCGCAAGCUCAUUGGGAGGGACGGUGGUUUAGGGAUAUUUGCUCAAGAGUUCUCACUCAAGGUCAUGUCCACCAAAGGCGUCAUCACCUCGCAUUGAGUUUGAAAUCUACACGAACACGAGUUCUCCCAGACCUAUACCCUGCGUGGCAAUGGAAAUGUGUUGUGAUUCGCUUCUACACAUACGAUACACCUUAAAAAAGAGAUUGAGUGUGAAAGGCGAUUUUAGGGAUACUUGUUGACACUUAAAUUUUACCGUACUUAAUUGUGUAGAAAAUUAGGGAUUAGUUUUUAAACCUUAGAUAAAAUUAGGGCAAGGGGUUGGGCUUGCUCGGCCCUCCAUUUCCUCCUCUUCUUUCUUCUUUUCUCUUUUUGUGUGGGCCGGCUCAUCUCUCUUCUUCCUUCUUUUCUUCUUUUCACAGGGACCGGCCCAUCUCCUAUCAUGUCGGCCCGGCCCGCGCGUGGGUCUUCUUCCUCCCUCACGCCCUCGCGCUGGCUUUGCUUUUGCAGAAAAGAAACGUACAAACCAAAGAAGGAGGCAGAGGAUCGCGAGGGCAGACGGCAGCAUGAUCUGCAGAUCGGGGCCAAGCCGGCCAGUAAGCUGCCGAUGGCAUAAGCCAUAGGCGCUGGCCCGUGGCCCUCAGAAGGGAGAGAGAGUGAGCGAGAGAGGUCUGGAGAGACAGAGACGGAGAAGGAGGGAUAAGUUUGGGAGAGCUGAUGUGGUUGUUUUGGUUUGUCAUUUGAUGGUUUACGUUGGGUCUAUAUCCGCGGAUUUGAAUGCGAAAGAUGUUCAAUAUUUCCCUUUUAGCCGCUGCAUACCACUUGCUUGACUGCAGAUAGGCUGAUGCACUACCAAUCUGUUUCAAAAGAUAUAAUCCAGCAAUAGAACAUUCAAAAGAGGUAAAAAAGUAAAACAAUGUCAUGCGGGACAAAAUUGAAAAGGCUGCCAAAAGGUUGUGGGCUUCACACUUCAUCUAAAAUAGCCAAGGACAGAGAAUGUCAAAGGAAUAUUAGAAGCCAGGGGAAGAGAGGGAGGGAAGGCCAUAUAAAAUUACUGUCAUAUUCAUUAAGCUAGAAUUAUGUUACACCAUUUAAAUUUUUUGUUCCAUUAGCCCUAAGGACACUCUCAAACCCAGUAUUUCCGGUAAAUUACUUUUAUGACAGACCUGCAAAUGACUGAAUUAACUGACCUUAUAGAUCUCUGUAUUUACAAGCGUUAGUAAGAAAAGGACCCCUCUGACGGUAAUAUUUGCGGUUGUGUAGCAAUAUACUCAAUUUCUUUUUUGAAAUCCACAUCAGAAUUUAGAAUAUGUAUCUCCACAGAGAGAAGCGACCAUACACCAAAACUUGUACUCCUUUUAUGUUCUUUCAUCUUCCGGCAUCCUUCCAUCGACUUCUCAUUAUUCUAGGCUGUACUUCCGUCACACCGAUGCAAAAGAAAAUUGGCUAAACUCAGCAUUUAUUGAAGGCUCUCAUUCUACGUGUGUCUAACAAAGUUUGUCAAGCUUGUGCUAGACAGUGAAUACUACAAAAUAGAGGCUUCUUUGUCAAGUAAUCAUCGAUGAAGCACAGAAAAAUCCAUCUCUAGAGUAUAGAAAAGCUCACUGUAAGAGGAACAAGAGCAACAGAGUAAAUUGGCAACUUGAUUGCCCUCCAUAUCAAUGUUGCCAUGGAAAUAUCAUCUUCUUUUGCCAAUUCAGAACUAUGAGCAUUCUUCCCAAAAGAAGCUUGGCGAAGCUUAAAUCUUCGCUUGACUUUCACUUGCUUAAUGUCUAGUGUUUUGAGAUAUAUAUGCUGCUUAGAAUAGGAACAUAGAUUUUGGGCAUGCGCAUGAGACCUACAGAAAGAGCAUAUGUGACAUCAUGAAAUUGACUAGUAUCUGCUCUUCCACCUUUUUUUUCCACAUAUAUCAGGUGGAAUCAGAACAUCCUUGCUCCCCAACUGACACGUAUGAAAGGAUGAGAAGAUAUAACUGAUAAUGCAGGGAAAGUAUCUCAUAUCUUUACAGCAGUGGAUGUAGAACCUGCUGUAGUGAAGUAACCAAGUGAAAAAACAACGCAAUCACAACAGAGGAGCACAGUUUUUCAACAUAUCAAAGAAACAUUUAUUAAGUUGUAGAUCACAUAAGCUUUACUCAAAUAUAGAAUCGCCAAUGUCUAUCCGCCGUGGAAGUUUCUUGGUAAAUGUGGAUAUAGAUCAAAACUCAUCGAUACAUUACUAGUUCAUUCAAACAGUAAAAAUGAAGCUUCUGAUUUGGUUGCUUUUGUCCUUUCAUAUAAUCAAUACGGAAGAUUCCAGUCAUGGAAGGUCAUUCUAUUUCCCCCUGUGAAAGUACUACCCUCCUGCAAUAGAGAUAAUACUUAAAUAUGAGAGUAUAUAGUACUCUACCUCUGACGGGUCAUGGAGGAUUACAAUUAUACAUGAUAACAACACUUGGAUCGGCCAAAGGAUUAGCAUCCAACAUCCUUCCGCAUAAGGUUAGCACCAAAUUGUUUCCUUUAUGAUGAGGAUGGUUGGUCAUCAGACCGUCACUCACAUCCAAAAACUAAGGGAUGUCCAACUCCUCACAUGAUAAUCCAUAGACAACAUUAAAUAGUUCUACGUCCCAUGGGAAGCAAAACACAUUGACUUUCUUCAAAAGUAUAAUUCAACAGCCACACGGGGUGUAUAGCCAAAAUGAAGAGGAAAGGGAACCUUGUCUUCCCAUUCCGGGUUGAGUGGAAGUCAUGGAGCUUGCGAAGACCACAGCCCAGGUUGACAUCACAGAAAGAGGCAGCCAUCAGCAUCAUUCACGAGACAUUCCUCCAACUGCGACUGCCUACUGAAAACAAACUGUCUUAAGAUCACCUAUUCGAUAUAGCAAUACGAAGCAGACACGCAUUCCCAUGAAUUCCACAUUGAAAUUUGCAUACCAGGAAAAACGCUUGGCAAACGUAGCCGGAUGAAGAAGAUGACAAAACAGAGGCACUUGAUCAGAACAAGAACCGAAAGUAUGGAAGAGUAGGAAGAGCUCGACUCACCGUUUGGGUUCUUAGUUCUGCCACAUAGAAUCUCAAAAGAUGAUGUCCGGGACAGCUUAGACAGGGCAGGGACGAAGAGAGCUCUAAGGCGCGCGCGAGAGAGAGAAAGAGAAACAGAGAGAGGGAGCAGCAUAUCCAUAUCUGCUGUAAUCUUAAUUCUGCUGAUGAGGAUAAUGUUGGAGCGCUGGUGCACGUGCAUAAUUGCAUUUACACGUGACUCAUUCGUAUUCAAUUUCAAUUGUCAUUUAUGAGUAAAAUUCGUAUUAUAAAUUUGACUAUCCAUAUGCAAAAGAAAUAAAACAGGUCAUUUUUUUUUUUGGCAAAAUGGAAUAAAAACAUGAUUUUCAUUUACAUUUACAUAAAAUUUAGAAAUCUUAUGAAAUGGGGGGAAGGAAAAAUACUUCCUUAUGAAUACAAUGCUAUUGCUAAAUUUUAUCAUUGUGUUUAUGUAAUUUGAGAAAUUUGGUAAGGCUAUUUAGUAAAGAAGAGAGGAGAAAUAUCCAAAAAGGUAAGGAUAUAUUGUCCCAUAAUAAUAAUAAUAAUAAUAAUAAUAAUAAUAAUAAUAUUGAAUUAAGUUCCAAAAUUAAUAUAUAUAUGUAUGUAUAUAUAUAUUUGUCAUACUCUACUUCUACUCCAACUCUCCUUAAAACUACUUUUUUACAAAAUAUAAGAGUCAAAACUCAUAUUUGAUAUUAAAUCGUCCCACCCUAACCUUCCUAAAAAAAUGUGAAUUUGAACCUCCUACCUUCCCCGUCUCAUAAGAGAAGGAUGGCCAUUAGGCCAAACCUCAAUGGUUCACUUAAUUGAGUUGAUGCAAAUUGUACCUAGAUCGUUAGUCAUAUGAGAAUUAGUACCAGUGUCCGAAUGCUACUAUUCAUCUUGUCCAUGCACGCCUUUCUUGCUUAAGCCAAGGGGCAGAAGACUUGAACAUCUCUUAAUUAGUACUCGAUUGUCUACAUGAUGCGACGUGGUUAGCUAAUACAGACGAAUCGACCAAAUGUCCUCAUAUGUCAUGGUUUUUGAAUGUGGUUAUGAUAGUAAAUCAACACUAGGGGUGCCAAAACUUUCGUAUAAUGCUCACUUGAGUGCCAUAACUUUUUUUUUUUCGAUUACUUGAAUAUCAUAUUAAUGUAAAAUUGAUCACUUGAUUGUCAUCUUCGAUAAAUCAUCCUCCAUGGAUUUUUUUUUCUUAAUUUUCCAUUCCGGGAUAAAUUUUUUAUAAAAUACUAAAGUCUAACGUGGAAAUUUUUGUCAAGCAUAACAAGAGUAUAAUAAACGUUGUCAUUUCUUGCCGUUUCCUUAAAAAUCUUCCAUGAGAAGACGACAUCAUUUUAAUUUUCAAACCCUCUCUCUCUUCCUAUCACUUUAAAAAAUUUGAUAAUCCUAAAUGUUUGCGACACUGAAACGAUCAUUCAUGAUAUUAUUAAAACUUCUCCUAUCCUUCAACCAAACACUCAAGCAAAGACGUUUACCUUCUCAAUUGCUAAUUCAACUUUGUGACAUGCUAUGUUGGAUGAUAAAUUACAAAUUAAUGCCACGUAAGCUUUUUUGGUGAGACAAAUCAUCGAUGGUACUCAAGUGAGAAAAAAAAAAGUUAUGAUACUCAAGUAAGUGUUGUAUAAAAAUUAUGACUCUCCUAGUAUACUUAUCCCUAGACUCCAUCACCUCGGACAUAAGUGACAAUUACAUUCUUUAUUUGUACAAAGAGGAAAUGACUUUUACAUUGUCUAUGAUGCAUUGAACCGUUCAAUCUACUCCACGGGUUUGUCCAUGCAAGCCCUUUCUCUUGCUUAAGCGAAGGGGAAGAAGAUUUGGAAAUCUUUUGAUGAGUGCCUAAUUGUCUACAUGAUGCGACGUGGUUAUUUGUUAAAAACGAAUAGACGGAAUGUCCCUAUACAUCGUGGGUUUUGAAUGUGGUUAUAGGCUCGAUUCUUUGGGUUAUCCGCUGCCGAUCCUGAGGGACAGAUCGGCAGUGCACUUCCGGCCGAAACCUUGGAAUGGCAUUUUGUUUAGCGGGUCCCUCAGUUGACGCCUAAUCCGGUUUUUAUGACCAAAAAAAAAACAAAACAAAAAUCCGGUUUUUAUGUUUGGCUUCGUCUUCAACCAAAUGGAAAUCUGCUAUUACUUCAACAUUUUGAACAGGUUCAUCAUGUGGAUGUUGGUUUUAAAGAACGGGUCCCUCAGCUUUUCCCUUGGAUAGACCAGACGCCGUUGGACUCUGCAUGCGCCCACACAAACGGAUGACUGCGACGCUUAAGCAUUCUGUGGUACGAAUGGGAAUUGUAACAUUGCUAGCAAUCCAAAAUGCAUAUGCUUGAAAGGGUUCAUGCCCAACUUUUUUACUGACUAAUUAAUUCAAGUGAUAUAAAUAAUUAUUUUCAGGAAGAUUUUUCCAAAUCAUUUACUUUUCAUGAAACAAAUGGACACUUAAACUUUGACUAUGAAAAGUGAGACUAAAUGUUAUAGACAAGAUGUACUUUAUUAGAACAAAUAACUUAAAUCAAAGGCCCGAAGUGCUAACCUCAGAUUUUGGUUAAUCUAGUGAUCGCUCGAGUGAUAAACACUAUUUUCAUUAUCUUUAAUGUCUGUCUUCAAAUUGUGUCACAAAAAUGUUUGUUUUGUAACUAUUUAUUUUCUUGAUACAGGAGACCAUUACCAUAAGAAUUGUUGCGGAAAGACAAGCUAUCCAGCACAAUGAAGCAGAUAAAAAGGGAAAUAAAUCACAAAUUGCCAAGGGAAGAGUAGCACAUGAUUCCACUAUAAAGUAGGCGAUAUAGUGGACAUUAUAACCAUAUUCAAAUCCCUUAGACAUUCUCAGUAUUUAGUCCCCAUAAUUCCUUGUUGAAAUCUCUCGAUCUCACAGAAGAAUUCACAAAUUUUAUCAUAAAUUUUUAACCAAACACUUACGAAUAUCACUUUGCACCAACUGCCUGACGACCAAACCCAUGAUUGGACAUAAAUGCAUAUCUCUAGCAAAACUAGAAGACUUAUGGCCGACUUUUGUAUCCAACGAGAAAAGUGAUUUCCUUGUUUGUUAGGAAACUUAAUCCAAUUGGGACAUUCUUUUGAUUUUUUGGGCAGAUAUCCGAAAUAGGAUAUCUCCCAUGUAAAUUUAGACUUUUCCUGGGGGGCUGAAACUCGAGAUUUAUUUUUACCAUCUACACAUUGAGUCGACAUUUGAAUCAAGUCACAAUCAUUUCACUAAAACCUGGUCAUUGCUACUCUCCUAUAAUCCCUUAGGGUACAAUCACCAUAGAGAUCUUCCAAAUCCAAGCCACAUCAAAACUUUGCCAUAAUUGUUGACCUCAUUAAAUUACCAACUCUACUUGCAACUUUAACUGGUCCUAAAGUAUUUUCAAACACAAGCUUAUGUAUACAAAAUAAAACAAAAACUAUUGAUGUAUUAUCUAUCAAGAGAUUGAACGUGCAUUUUGUCAAACACAACAGUUAUAACAACUAUUUGCUCUAGAUGUUCUAUCUUGCUACAUUCACCUUUUGGGUCGAUUACCACACAAGCACCCAUUAUCUCAGAAGAUUCUAGUUACAAAUUCAACUUGUGCACCAUCAAGAUUCGCAUAAACACUAUCACACAAAUGUAACUUUUCUACUAACAACAGUGAGUUUAAUUCCUAGCACCACAAUAGAAAGUCCCACUCAGCCUGUGCAUAGUCUAGAAAUAUGCACAUUUUCCCCUCCCAUCAAACUUACCAUCAGUUCGCUUGAACAUAUCAUGAGCAACAAAAUAUUCUAAGAAAUUAUUCAUCAAUAAUGUUACCUAAAUGCACCAAGUACUAAGCACAUCUACCAAGAAUUUCUUCGGCAUACCAACACUAGAAAACAUUUUAUGGGUCAUAUCUAAUAAUGAUUUGCUCAUUAACUCUGGAACCUAUUGUGAUUUUACUAGCACUAGUAUAGUGUUUUAGUAUGCAUUCAUGCGGUAUUCAUUCAAUAGCUCCAUGCAAAAUCAAUGCUACUAUCAGUCCACACAUGCUUGAUUAUCUUACCAGUUUCAUUUUUUAUCAAAACUCUCAACUGCCUAAUUCUGACAAUGGCUUCAAAGUUCUUUCUCAACACAAACAUGUAGGUCCUGGUGGUCGACAAUUGUUGGCAUAAAUCCAACAUUCUUCUUCGAAGGAAAUUGUGACAGCUUACAAAUAUCCCAAGUGAAUAAACUCCACAGUCUAUAUGGUUUCCCAUAUACUUGUACCAUAGUAUGCUUUUCGUAGUUUGCUUAAGUCACAACACUUGCAUUUAUUCAAUUUCUUGGCCACCUAACUUCAUAGUUGAUUCAUUUCACUCAGAUACUUGUUGCUUCUUUCCGAAUGUGUCCUAAACAUAUAUGCCACAAUUCAGACCAGAGAAUAUAUGCACACAACAUCUUCGGGCAAAAUCUGUGACAUCUUGAAAUUUCCAACUCUUUUUUUGAUUAAUAAAUCAAGCAUUUCAUCGAUGCGCCUAUAGUGCUAUUAUCUGAACUAAUCACUCUUGAAAUAACUAGACUAUUUGGGGAAGCUAUUAAGGGAUUUUAACGUAAUAGACUUGAGAAUUUAGUCAGGAAUCGACUACUCGACCGUGCUCAUUUGCAGAGAUCAUUACUGCACAAUUAAAAAUUGAUCAGAGAUCAGAGAUAGGUCAUUUUGACUAACAUAGGUGAUCAAAGUGUGGGUGAUGUCACCAGAUCGCAAAAUUCUCGCCGAUUGGCAUUAGACUGAUUUUUUUGUCAUUUUAGUACCUUGUACCCGUAUUUGAAACCUUGAGAUUUUCACAACCAUAAAGAGUUUCCAAUGUAUCAAAAAGGUACAUUGUGACUCGAAAUAAAUCGAUCACGGGUCAAUUGCACCAAAAAUUUCUAAAAGCUAUUCGGUAGACUAGGUUAUGCUAAAAUCGCGUCAAAUUGAAAUUAACCGCAAAUUUGAAUCUAAUUUUAGAAAUUGAAAGUUUUGUUAUGUCAUGAGUCAUUUUAGGAACAUCGACUCAUCCUUCGAAAAUUUUUCUGCAAAAUGAGAUUUUUGGUGAAAAGUCGAAAUAGGGCCGUUUUUGUCCGGAAAAUUCAGGAGAUCAUUUUUUAUCGCGUUUUUGAGAUACAAAUUGGUUCUAUUGGCAUGGAAAAAUGUCAAUUUGGUCGAGGAUACCUCGGUGGAUUUUAUAGGGCCGAAAUUGGCUUCAAUUGAUUAGGAUUUUGUCUAAUUUUGGGGGAAAAUGUGUAAAUUCGUAGUCCCUUGGUCCUCAACCUUUUGGACCACCUCAAUGACUUCCUAAGGAAGCUUGGUGGCUGCAAAGUGUGCUGAGGAAGCCAGCCUAACUAGUGGGGUCAUGCCAAGGGGAAAAAGGGGUGAGGAUGGAGCAAAUUGGGUCCCUCCAAGGCAAUUGUCCCCUAUCUUCUCCAUUUCAAUAUGCUUUCUCCAUUGCUAAGGUCACAUGAGAGCUUGAGAGACCAGAGAAUCCGGCCAGCAACUCCCCCUCCACUGUCGAUGUCAUUUACUGCCCAUUGAACCACCAGAACGCCGCCGUUGCGCGCCCGAGCACGCCCGCGAGUUGCAUGCCUGCUCAUGCAUCACUGCCGUCCCAGCUUCGUCAUUCACUCCUGCUCACUCGUCUAGCAAGUCGCUUGAGCCAUCAUGGUCGUUGUCCAGCCGCCUGCCAUCAUCAAGCACUGCCAAGCCCUACAGCAACCUCGCCAACCUGUUCUCACCAUUUCCGCACCAACCAACCUCCAUCCGGCCCUCUCAGCCCAAGGAGCAAAAUCAAACCCCUUUAGCCCGGUCGUGAAUUGUUUGGCCUGCUUUGGACUGCUUCCGCGCCUUGAAAGGUGCUGCUGCUUUGGAGUUUGUUACCCGCCUUCGUGUCCUCGUUAUUGUAAACUCAUCGAAUUUCAAAACUGGUGAAUUUAAUCACUAAACUCUGCUUAUGGAGUUAAUUAUGCUUAAUGGUUGAUUAGUUUAGGCUAAUUAGAGAUUGGGUGGUUAGUUAGAAUGGAUUAGCAAUUUAAUUAUUCAUUUAUACAUGUUAGGUGGUUACAUUGGCGUAAUUAGUAAGUUAAUAGGUUGUAUUAUUUAUCUAGAUAGGUUUGAAAAUUUUCUAGGCCCAUUUCGGUAUUUAAUUAGGCUUUUCCAGCCUAAGUUUGUAUUUUUGGCAUUUGUUGGCAUUUAUUUAAUUAAUUUUGGUAAUUAUUUAAUUAUUUAUUAUUUUUUGAAAAUUAUACGGGAAUAGUUGGUGACUGAAAUUUCAUGCUGAUUGCAAUGGCAUGUUUGGUUUAUUUAUUUGGAUGUUAAUUUGUGCAAAUUGAGUGUUAAUUGUAAUUUUGGGUAUUUAUCCCAAAAUUUAGUAAUUUCAAUAUUUAAUUAGAAAAUCAUCGAGUGUCGGUUUACAAUAAAAAAAUAUUUUUAUAGAUUAUGUAACUAGUGUGAUUUUAUAAAGUAAAGAUAUUUUAUUUUUAGCUCAGGCCUACCGUGUAUCUACACAUUAUUAUUUUUACCAGGUAUUAUGGAAACAGUGAAUUUGCCAGUUGAUAGGUGUGACAUAUCAAUAUUAGCUUCAGUAAGCUAUAAUAUGCAUAUAUCAGCUUUGGUGAGCAUAUAUCCACUUCGGCGAGCUAUACUAUCUAUCUAGAUCAACUUCGGUGAGCUAUACUAUCUAUCUAUAUCAGCCUAGGCGAGCAUUUAUUUAUGUAUCAGCUUAGGUGAGCAGUGAUCGCUUCUAAAAAGUGAUUUGAUAGAAAGUAUCAUUUGAUUGAAUGGAGUGAAUGGUUGGUUGAAGUUUAUGAAAUGCAUUGACUUGCAAGAAGGAACAGAGGCAAAUGUAAGUCACCUAUCUCUUGUAAGCAUAGGUAACCUUCGGGGGUAUUUCUUUCCUAGUUGGAGUUUGGGGUGAACUUGUUGAGACGUUGUCUCACCCCGUCGUGGGCUAACAUUUACAGGUCCUUAGAUGGUUUUACCUCCCGAGCAUUUUAACCAACUGAAGAAGGUCACCAAACAGCACUCUCAGAUUCCCCUCCUUAGGAGCCAAGGAGCCUCAGUCUACGAACUCGUGCGAUCCAUUGUCUAGGUUGGUGAGGGUUUAUCUCGAAAAGUACCUCGUAAGUACCCCUUCUAGAGUUUGAGAUUCCUAGGUCGAUGCUGGAGAUUGCUUUUGGCAAGGACAUGACUAACCCUCCUAGUGGUUCAGUGGUAGACUCGAGUCUUUCGGAUCCAGAGUCCUCGGAGUACUUUGUGGAAGACUUGAAUGCUUAGAGGAUCUGUAGCCUCUACCCCUUUUUGUAGACCUUGUAUAUAGAUCGGCUAGUAAUGUAUAUGACUUAGUAUCAUGUGUAUAUAAGCGUGUUGUGGUUUGAAAAUUUUGUGGCCUUGCUUUUCUAUCCCAUUUUUGUUGUUGUCUAAAAAAUUAUUUAUUCGCUUCUGCAUGCGUAUUAAAAUGAAUGGGUUGGCGACGCGUCCUGAAACAUCGCAAUUUAUUCGACCACCGAGAGAUGGGCAUGCACUCGGAGGAUCGGGGUGUGACAUCCCCAUUUAGUGGUAUCAAAGCAGUUUAAUAGUUAGAGUGAUAAGGUGCGAUAAGUUUAUGGGAUAGUUGGUAGGAAAGGCCUUUAUUUCAUUAUGGUGCAUGUCUGUGAUUGUUAUUUGGUAGACUGUUUGUUUGGGAUGGCUCAGCUUCUAAUUCGAUGUGGACUUGGAAAGCGGGUUUUAGUAGAAAACUUGUGUCAUAAGUGAUCAUGAGCAAAAGACUCCUAAGAAGAGGACCAUUGGGCCUGUUACUCGGGGUAGGACACCGAUAAGGGUUAGUAUCCGAGGAGGCCGUGGUCGAGCACUAACUCAAGCUAGCACUAGUGGGGUAGCACCAUCUCCUAUUGGUGCUGGGGUAGCAACCCCUGGUGAUCCCAGGUUCGAAGGGAUCAUGUAGGCGUUUGAAGCAAUGAGAGAUCUAAUGAGGUAGCAGGCCCAGAAUCAAGCUGCCACCACCACUACUGCCACCGCUCAAGCUGGUGCUGCUGCUACCGUUGCCGUUGCUGCUGAAGUCACCGCCAAUACCGCACCUGUCAGAGUUCCAGCUAAGAACAUAGUCAUGGAGAGGGAGACACCAAUCCAUAAAUUGGUAGAGCAAUUCCUAAAACUGAACCCUCUGAGGUUCACCGGUGCCGAAGAUCUAGAGACUACAUCACUUUGGAUUCAAGAUUUGGAGAAGGCCUUUGCGUUGCCGAUGUGCACUGAAGCAGAAAAAGUUGUCCUGGUAGUAUAUCAAUUGUAGGGUAAUGCGAAUACUUGGUGGAGGGCCGCUAGAGGUAUAGUAUUCCCGGAAGGCGUAGUUCCGGUAUGGAACACUUUCCUUAGAACCUUCAACGACAAGUACUUUUCAAGUAGUGCCCGAGAAUAGAAGAUGGAGGAAUUUCAACGCCUCCGCCAAGGGACGAUGAUUAUUGACCAGUAUGAGGUCAAGUUUGCAGAGCUUUCUUAGUAUGCUCCAAGAUUGAUUAAGGAUCCAGAAGACAAAGCUCGAAGGUUUAGGAAUGACCUUCGACUAGAGUUGAAAAACCCGUUGGUACCGUUUGAUCUAAAAGACUAUAGCGAGGUUUACGACCGAGCCUAGCUGAUAGAGAAAAGUUGAAAUGAAUAAGUCGCCUUGUCUAUAUCAAGGUUUAAUUCGAACAGAGACAGAAAUCAGUUUGGGAAGAAACCCAUGACCGAGGAAGGUUCCAGGUCCUACCCAAUAGGAAGGGCGGAGUUGGCAAGUCAGCACCACAUCAGAAUGGCAUGUGUCGCUUCUGUGGAAGAUGACAUGGUUCGGCUCCAUGCCCUCGAUGGAUGGGUGCGUGUUUCGAGUGUGGCCAACAGGGUCACAUGGCUAAAGAUUGUCCUAGAAGACCGAGGGGAUAACAAUAGUUACCACCGAUGCCACCGAUGGGACAAAUUAAGGGGUUAGUGCCGCAGAUUGCACCGUAGGGUGGACAUAACAAACCCACAGCUCAAGGAUGAGUGUACGCCAUUACGAGAGGUCAGGUUGAGGAUGCGCCUGAUGUGAUUACAAGUACGAUUUUGUUGAACGACCAUGUUGCUUAUGCUUUGUUUGACCCUAGGGCAACUCAUUCCUUUAUUGCUGAACAAUUCGUUAAGCUGGUAGGAUUGAGUCCUGAAUUGUUGGAGUUGGUGGUUAUCAUAUCUACACCACUAAAGAAUAAGGUGUUGUCUGCAUUAGGUUGUUUUGGUUGCAAAAUAGUAAUUGGUGAGUGAGGGGAGGAUAGAUUUAUUGUUCCUAGCCAUGUAUGAUUUUGAUUUGAUAAUUGGCAUAGACUGGCUCACCAAACAACGAGCCAAGAUGGGCUGCUAUCAUAAAACGAUUCAAUUUAACCCGUUAGAAGGUGAAAGUUUCGAGCUUGUGAGAAGUCGAGGAGGACCCUCGAUUACCCUAAUCUCGUCGCUUAAGGUAACCCGUUUGUUAAGUAAGGGUUGUUAAGGUUACUUGGUAACUGUCAUUGACACAAUAGUUGAGGAACCAAAGAUUGAGGAUAUCUUGGUAGUCCAAGAUUUUCCUGACAUGUUUCUAAAGGAGUUGCCAGGCCUACCGCCAGAGAGAGAGAUCGAAUUUGUGAUCGAGUUAGCACUCGGGACAAAGCCAAUCUCUAAGGCUUCUUACUGGAUGGCGUUGUCCGAGUUGAAAGAACUAAAGGUGCAGAUGCAGGAGUUGUUGGAUAAGGGAUUUAUAUGCCCUAGUGCAUCACCUUGGGGAGCACCAGUUCUAUUCAUGAAGAAGAAAGAUGGUUCAUUGCACUUAUGUAUCAAUUUCACCAACUCAAUCAAAUGACAAUUAAGAACAAGUAUCCACUCCUGAAAAUCUACGACUUGUUUGACCAACUGCAAGGAGUGUCAAUAUUUUCAAAGAUCGACUUGAGGACAAGGUAUUAUCAGCUAAGAAUCAGAAAUGAGGAUAUACCAAAGUCAGUGUUUCGUACUCGAUAAAGUCAUUAUGUAUUCACUAUAAUGCCGUUUGGUUUGACAAACACUCCAGCUGCUUUUAUGGAUCUGAUGAACCAAGUAUUUAAAGAGUACUUGAAUCAGUUCGUGAUCGUGUUCAUAAUGAUAUUCUGUUAUAUUCGAAGAGUGCUAAGGAGCAUGAGAGUAAUUUGAGAAUGGUACUUCAAACCCUGAGGAUUCAUCAGCUGUACGCCAAGUUUAGCAAGUGCGAGUUUUGGUUGACUCGUGUUGCGUUCCUAGUCACAUGAUUUUAGGUGAAGGAAUCUCCGUGGACCUAUCUAAGAUUGAAGUAGCAAUCAACUGGCCAAGACCAACUACAGUGACAAAGAUCAUAAGUUUUUUGGGUUUAGCAGGCAACUACAAAAGGUUCGUGGAAGGAUUUUCGGCGUUGGCGUCGCCGUUAACUAGACUAUUGAAGAAAGAAGAGAAGUUUGUGUAGAUAGACAAGUGCGAGCGUAGUUUCCAAGAGCUUAAGCUGAAGCUGACUACCACACAUGUAUUGACCAUUCCAUAUGGUCAUGGAGGGUACGAGAUCUACAGUGAUGCAUCAUUCAAAGGACUGGGUUGCGUACUGAUGCAACAUGGUAAAGUGGUUGCAUACGCGUCCCGUCAGUUGAGGCCUCAUGAACUGAACUACCCGACGCAUGAUACAGAACUUGCAGCAAUCAUUUUUGCUCUAAAGAUUUGGAAACAUUAUUUGUGUGGAGAAAGAUUACAGAUCUUCACUGACCAUCAAAGUCUCAAGUAUCUAUUCUUUCAGAAAGAGUUGAAUAUGAGACAAUGUCGUUGAAUGGAACUUUUGAAGGACUAUGAUUGUGAUAUUUUAUAUCACAUUGGAAAGGCAAAUACGGUCGCCAACAUUUUGAGUCGGAAGUCUUCAGUCGCACAAAUGAUGGUUAAGGAAUGGGUUUUACUUGAGAGAGCGCGAGAUUCGGUUUUCAAAUUUGAAGAGGCCACAUUUCGAAUCUUAUGACCACCCUCAGAAUUGAGCCAGAUGUGCAGAUUAGGAUCAAGAAACUUCAAUCGAUAGACCCAAAUGUUCAAAAGAUUAUGCAAGACAAUACUAAUAAGAGAAACGCUGAUUUUCAGAUUUCUGAGGAUGAGAUUUUGAGGUUCCGAGAACAAUUGUGUGUACCUGAUGAUGCAGAGCUUAGAGAAGAGAUCAUGUUGGAAGCCCAUCGUAGCAGUUACAGUAUUCAUCUGGGUGGUACAAAGAUGUAUCAAAAUCUGCGUCAACACUAUUAGUGGUUCGGUAUGAAGGCAAACACCGCCAAGUAUUUGACAUGUUAGCAAGUGAAAGCACAUCAUUGUAAACCGAGAGGAAUUUUGCAACCUCUUGAGAUUCCUGAGUGGAAAUGGGAGCACAUCAUGAUGAAUUUUAUGACAGGCUUACCAAGGAGUCAAAGGGGCAAUGAUUCCAUUUGGGUAGUGGUCGACAAACUGACGAAGUCGGCUCACUUCAUCACUGUGCAAAAGGAUCUAGACUUGGACAGGCACACAGAGUUGUACAUAUGUCAGAUAGUUCGUCUGCAUGGAGUGUCGGUGAUGAUUACAUCAGACCAAGACCUGAGAUUCAUAGUUGCUUUUUGGAAUAGUUUAUAGGCUGCCCUAGGAACGAAAUAGUACAGCAUAUCAUCCUCAGAUGGAUGGCCAAUCUGAGAGGAUGAUUCAAACCCUCGAAGACAUGCUGCGAGCUUGCAUGUUGGAUUUCAAAAGAAGCUGGGAGGAACAACUUCAUCUUGUCGAGUUCACCUACAACAACAGUUACCAGCAGAGCAUUCCGAUGGUUCCUUUCGAAGCGUUGUAUAGUAGAGCGUGCAAAAUGCCGGUGUGUUGGGAUGAAGUUGGAGAACGAAAGAUCAUAGGCCUAGAGUUGGUUCAGCAGUUAGUGGAUGCAGUCGCAAUCAUCAUAGACGGAAUAAAUACCGCUAAGAGCCGCUAGAAAAGCUACGUAAAUAAGUGUCGAAAACCAUUGGAAUUUCAAGUUGGUAAUCACGUUUUUUUGAAAGUGUCACCAAUAAGAUAUACUUCACACUUUGGCAAAAAGGGAAAGUUGAGUUCGAAGUACGUAGGUCCCUUUGAGAUUCUAGAGAGAAUCGAGAUCCUAGCGUAUCGUUUUGCAUUACCGCCAAAGUUGGCCCAAGUGCAUGACGUCUUUCAUGUGUCGAUAUUGAGGAAGUAUGAGCUUGACCCGACCUGACCCACGUGCUUAAUUUUGAGAAAUUAGAUGUGGACGAUAGAGUGUCGUACGUAGAAAGCCCGGUUUAGAUUGUGGAUCAGAAAGAGCAAAUUCUACGUACCAAGACGAUCUCAUUGAUUAAAGUGGUUUGACAACACCACGGCACUGAAGGAGCAACUUAGGAAAGUGAAGAUUCGAUGAGAUGACUAUACCCUCACAUUUUUUUUUAAAGAAUUGUGAUAGUUUAAAUUUCGAGAACGAAAUUUUUAUAAGAGUGGAAAAGUUGUGACAUCCUGAAAUUUCUAGCUCUAUUUUUGAUUAAAUAAAUCGGGUUUUCAUCGACGCGCCUAUAGUGCUAUUCUCUGAGCUGAUCACUCUUGAGAUAACUAGACUAUCUGGGGAAGCCAUUAAGGGAUUUCAACGCAAUAGACUUGAGAAUUCGACUAGAAAUCGACUACUCGACCAUGCUCAUUUGUAAAGAUCAUUACGACACAGUUAAAAAUUGAUAUGAGAUCAGAGAUAGGUCGUUUCGACUAAAAUAGGUGAUCAAAGUGUGGGUAAUGCCACCAAAUCGCAAAAUUCUCGCCGAUCGGCACUAGACUGAUUUUUUUGUUGUUUUGGUACCCUGUACUCGUAUUUGAAACCUUGAGAUUUUCACAAUCACUGAGAGUCACCAAUGUGUUGAAAAGGUAUAUUGUGACUCGAAAUAAAUCGAUCACGGGUCAAUUGCACAAAAAUUUCUAAAAGCUAUUCGGUAGGUUAGGUCACGCCAAAAUCGCGCUAGAUUGAAAUUAACCACGAAUUUGAAUCCGAUUUCAAAAAUUGAAAGUUAUGUCAUGUCACGAGUCAUAUUAGGAACGUCAACUCAUAUUUUGAAGAUUUUUCUACAAACUGAGAUUUUUGACAAAAAGUCGAAAUAGGGCAAUCUUUGUUUGGAAAAUUUAGGGGACCAUUUUUUUUUGCGUUUUUGGGAUGCAAGUUGGUUCUAUUGGUGUGGAAAAAUAUCAAUUUGAUCGAUGAUACCUCAGUGGAUUUUAUAGGGCCGAAAUUGGCUUCAAUUGAUUAAGAUUUGGUCCAAUUUUGCGGGGAAAAUAUGUAAAUUCAUAGCCCCUUGGUUCUCAACCUUUUGGACCACCUCAAUGACUUCCUAAGGAAGCUUAGUGGCUGCAAAGUAUGUUGAGGAAGCCAGCCCCACCAGUGGGGUCAUGCCAAGGGGACAAAGGGGUGAGGAUGGAGCAAAUUGGGUCCCUCCAAAGCAGUUGUCCCCUUUCUUCUCCAUUUCAAUUUGCUUUCUCCAUUACUGAGGUCACAUGAGAGUUUGAGAGACCAGAGAAUCCAGCCAACAGCCCCCCUCCACUGUCGAUGCCCUAUGUUGCCUGUCGAACCGCCAUAAUGCCGCCGCCACGCACCCGAGCACGCCCACAAGUCGCGAGUUUGCCUACAUGUCACCGCCGUCCUAGCUUCAUCGUUCGCUCCUGCUCGCCCAUCCCACAGGUCUCCUGAGUUGUCGUGGUCGCCGUCUAGUUGUCGCUUGCCAACGUUGAGCACCGCCAAGCCCCGCGAUAGCCUCGCCAACUCAUUCUCGCCAUUUCCGUGCCAACCAGCCUCCAUCAAGCCCUCUCGACCCAAGGAGUAGAAUCGAACCCCCUCAGCUCAGCCGUGCACUAUUUGGCCCGCUUUGGACUGCUUCCGGGCCUCGAAAGGUGCCGCGCUUUGGAGUUUGUUGCCCACCUUUGUGUCCCCGUCAUUGUGAACUUAUCGGAAUUCAAAACCGGUGAGUUUACUCACUAAACUCUGCUUAGGGAGUUAAUUACGCUCAAGGGUUGGUUAGUUUAUGCUAAUUAGGGAUUAGAUGGUUAGUUAAAACGGAUUACCAAUUUAAUUAUUCAUUUAUGCAUGUCAAGUGGUUAAAUUGGCGUAAUUAGCAAAUCAAUAGGUCGUAUUACUUAUCUAAAUAGGUUCAGAAAUUUUCCAGACCCGUUUCAAUAUUUAAUUAGGCUUUUCCGGCCUAAGUUUGUAUUUUUAGAAUUUAUUAGCAUUUAUUUAAUUAAUUUUGAUAAUUAUUUAAUUAUUUAUUAUAUUUCAAAAAUUAUACCGGGAUAGCCAGUGACCGAAAUUUCGUGCUGAUUGCAAUGGUGCAUUUAGUUUAUUUAUCUGGAUGCUAAUUUGUGCAAAUUAAGUUUUAAUUGUAAUUUUGGGUAUUUAUCCCAAAAUUUAGUAAUUUCAAUAUUUAAUUAGAGAAUUACCGGCCGUCGGUUUACAACGCCAAAAAUAUUUUUAUAGAUUAAAUAAUUAGUGGGAUUAUAAAAUAUAUUUUAUUUUUGGUUUAGACUUACCGUGUACCCACACACGAUUAUUUUUAUCAAGUAUCAUGGAAACAGUGAAUUUGUCAGUUGAUGGGUGUGACAUAUCUAUAUCAGCUUCGGUGAGCUAUAAUUUACAUAUAUUAGCUUCAGUGAGCAUAUAUCAACUUCGGUGAGCAUAUAUCCGCUUCGACGAGCUAUACUAUUAUCUAGAUUAGCUUCGGUGAGCUAUACUAUCUAUCUAUAUUAGCUUAGGCAAGCAUUUAUUUAUAUAUCAGCUUAGGAGAGCAGUGAUCACUUCUAAAAAGUGAUUUUAUUGAUAGUAUCAUUUGAUAGAUAGUAUAAAUUGAAUGGAGUGAAUGGUUGGUUGAGAUUUAUGAAAUGUACUGACUUGCAGGAAGGAACGGAGGCGAAGGUAAGUCACCUAUCUCUUGUGUGCAUAGGUAACCUUCGGGCAUAUUUCCUUCCUAGUCGGAGUUUAGGGGGUGAAUUUGCUGAGACGUUGUCUCACCUCGUCAUGAGCUAACAUUUACAGGUCCUUAGAUGGCUAUACCUCCCGAGCAUUUUAACCAACCGAAGAAGGUCACCGAACAACACUCUCAAAUUCCCCUCCCUGGGAGCCACAGAGCCUGGGGCAACGAACUCAUAAGAUCCAUUGUUUGGGUUGAUGAGGGUUUAUCUUGGAAGGUACCCCAUAAAUUCAUAUCAUGGUAUCGUUAUGGGCAAGAUGGACCUAGAGAAGGCCCCCUUCUAGAGUCUGAGAUUCCUAGGUUGGUGUUGGAGAUCGCUUUUGACAAUGACACAACUGACCCUCCUCGUGGCUCAGUGGUAGACCCAAGUCUUUUGGAUCCAGAGUCCCCGGAGCACUCUGUGGAAGACUUGAAUGCUUAAAGGACCUAUAGCCUCUACCCCUUUUUGUAGACGUUGUAUAUAGAUCAGCUAGUAUUGUAUAUGACUUAGUCUGAUGUGUAUAUAAGCGUGUUGUGGUUUGAAAAAUUUAUGGCCUACUUUUCUAUCCCAUCUUUGUUGUUGUCUAGGGAUUUAUUAUUCGCUUCCGCAUGCACAUUAAAAUGAAUGAGCUAGCGACGUGUCCUAGGACAUCGCAAUUUAUUCUACCACCGAAAGAUAGACACACACUCGGAGGAUCGAGACAUGACAAAAUCUGUCACUCUCCCCUUGAAGCUCAUAAAUUCUACGGUGCUCAAUUUCUCUCAUCACCAUCACGGUACCUCAAACGGUCCUUAGUGCACCACAUUUUGGAAUACCAACACCCAAUUAAAUUCAAGAAUACUCAAGAAAAUCAGAUUUUUCUUCAAUGCCGGAAUAUAUCUCACUCUGAACUAUGUCCCACGAUGAUGUUAUGCGUUCUAAUUCCAUCAUUGGCUCCACCACGAAAUUACUCCUAUCAGGUUCCCUUCCGCACAGGGAGAGAAUCUUCGAGUUUCCCUGAAGAGCACGUCAGAUGUCCACAUUUCGGUUUUCCAUACUCUCACUCCGUCUCUUCUCAGGCAUCAAGUAUUGAGACUGUCAAAUAUGCGUGGGUUUUGACCAAGUCAAAAGAGAGAAAAGUAAGAAAAAAAUAAAUUCAAAGGAACGAAAAGCCAAAGAAGAGGAAAAAAGGGAAAGGGACGUUCGGCUCCUCUCUUUUUAACCAAGGGCCCGCGCAAAAGAGAGAAACAGAGAGAGAGAGGGAACAAAGAAAGAAGAAAAAAGAAAAAGAAAGAAGAGGGGUAUUCACCGCAAAUGCCUCACCAAACCGAUCUGACUUCGUAAUGCAGCGUAUGGUAAGUACUCACGUCCCUCGUUCAUCCAAUUAGAGUAGUUUCUGUAGUUAGAUCGUAUAUUCGAAGUUUUGUGAAAAUCAAGCCUCAAAAUCCAAUUUUUUUAUUAUUCCAGCUAUGAAAUUUCUUGGGAACGGAGGAUCGUGAUGUUGUAGAGUUGUAGAGUUUGACAGUUGUUGAUUUGAGGCAACGAUUUUGUGGGAGAAAAUUUUUAGGGUUUCGUGUUCACUUCGGGUAAGCAAUUGGUUGAUGCGUAGGAGUUAUUUUGUUAGCAUUUAAGCUUAGUUUAACUGAGCCGUAGUUGAGAUAACAUUUUACUUGGUUUUGAUGUUAUUUCUCACUUAUAUGAUAGGAUUGUGAGUUUGUUGAUUCAAGUGAGCCUUGUUAUUUGGUUGUAGGCGUUCUUAGGUGAGUGAUGUAAUCUCCUUUUUAAAUUUGCAAACUCAUAUUUUGAAAAUGAAAAGUAGAGGUAUAUUAUGUGCAAGUCAUGAGUUGGCAAAAAGGCAAAAGUAGUGGAACUUGCUUUUACUACUUUUUAUUCAUUGAGAAUGAUUUGAGAAAUUUUUUAUAGAAAGUGUCGUGAAAGUUUUAAUGUGUGUAUUACAAUGAGAACUGAUUCAUGAAAAGAGUUCUUUGAUGAUUUGGGAAAUAUUCAACGAGAAAGACAUUUUGAAUUGUUACUAGUUUAUAAAAUGAAUUCUAUAAUGAUAUGAAAAAUAUAUUGUGAAAUAUAUUUAUUAUGUCUGAUGGUCGAGUUGAAAAAGAGGAUAUAGUUUGGUCUAAUGGUCAAGUUGGAAAAGGGGAAAUAGUUUGGGUUUCCGAAAGCUUUUGAGAAAGAAUUGCAUUGACUUGCGUUUGGUUUAUGAAAGGUAAUUUGAUUUGGUAUGCGAAAUUGAUUUGUCGUAUAGAUUUUGAAUUGAUUUGUAAAAAGUUAUGUUUUGGUUUGUGAAGCCAAGUGUGAUGUAGAUUGAUAAAGGACUAGGUGUUACACGAUAACGUAACUUCGUGAGAGCCACCUUUAAAGCCUAGUACCAUUAACAUGUGUUGGAAAAAGACUAAGUACUACACGAUAAUCUAAUUUCAUGAGAGUCACUUCUAGAGCUUUGUAAAAUUGAUAUGUGUUGGAAAAAUGACUAAAUACUACACUAUAACAUAAUUUCGUGGAAGCCACCUAUAAAGUAUUGUACCAUUUAUAUGUAUUGGAAAAAUACUAAGUACUAUACAAUAACGUAAUUCAUGGAAGUCACAUCUAGAGUCUUGUAUCAUUGACAUGUGUUGGUCAAUGGCUAAGUGCUAAACAGUGAUGCAAAUCUUGUGGAAGCCAUCUCUAGGGUCUUGAGACGUGAUGUGAUACUAGUUUGGAAAAUGGAAUGAACCAAUGACAUGAGAUAUGACGAGUUUCAUUAUUGAACUGAAUCCGUGAUACUUGUUUUGAUAUUAUGGAUAAACGGGAAAUUUUGUUAUUGAUAUAGCAAGGUUGAAGUAAUAUAGAACUCAUUUUAUUCUUGUAAGUUGUUAUAUAUCAGAUUGGCAUAAAUGAGUCAUGUCUUUGAGUUUUAUAUGUGUAAUGUGGAGUCUUGAUCUACUAAGAAGAUAUGCACUACUCACUACGGUUGCUCACUCCUUUCCUUCCCAAUCCUUUCAAGUCCCUCAGUGAGCGCUUAUAAAGUGAGAGCGAUAUCGACAUCGACGGGACUUUUGAGAGUUGGAUUUGUGUGAUUGGAGGCUGCAAGGACGUAUGAUUUAGGGUGUGACAGAGAUGGUGAAAGAGAAUUUGGAAACGAUCUGAGACUUGACCAUGAAAAGUGAAAACGGAGAUUACAGACCAGGUAUAGUUUUUUAGAGCAAGAAUUAAAUAAAUCGAAGGUCCGUUUUCGGAUGUCAUAAAUAUAUCUGUUUCUUCACAGUCCAUAACUUUCCCGUGCGAUACGAACAAAUCUGAGAAGAAAUUAAAAGUGAUUUAGUAAGUGAAUUUUGGCAAAUGUCUCCCUCAUAUGUCAAAAGAAUAGUAAUCUUUUUUCUCAAUAAAUUAUCUGUAGCACGGCUAGCACAAUGGCACCGCCGUUCACUUAAAAUGACAGCCGCUUUUCAACGUCUAACACAAUUCUGACAGAUGGGAACCGACGUCUUGUAAAAUGACAAAUUUUUUUUUUUUUUUCGGGGUUUCAAAAGGCCAUCUUACAGACAGCACCUUGAGGACGUUUGAAGUUAGAUUAUGAUAACCAGAAUUAGUAGUUAAUUGUUGGUAUGAAGGGGUCAACUUAAAGUCCAACUAAUCAGUAUUAUACUGUUAAGGGGAAAGCAGCCCUUUGUUAUUUCACCGAUAUAAUCUCGUCCGCCCAACAUCUUAAGCUCCGUGCAUAGAUCCAUUAAUGUCGCCUUAGAAGCCGAUCACUUCUCUGCUGUUCUCAUUGUUGCGAAUACGGAAUCACAUCUUUGUCGUGCAAUUGUCAUCCAUCCAGGCAAUGCACGAUGAAGUUUCUAAGUGUGCCACUGAGUUUGGAAAUGUCGUUUGUACGCUGGUUUAUAAACAGUAAACUCUUAAGUCCUAAUUUCAUCGACUCUUCCUCUUGCACAUCAUUUAAUUAUGUUUUUACGCGGUUCAGGUCCAACAUUUCGGCUCAUUCCUGUUUCAAUGAGUGACAAAGUCAGACAGAAGAUUAAUCAGCCAAGUUUCCUCUCCUCUUUAAUUUCCUCAUGAAUCAGAAGUCAGUUUAGCACUGUAUCAGCUGAACAUCAUCUAUGGAGUCAUGCUUUCCAAUUCUUCUAUGCGGCUUGUGCUUCAUGUCCCUCGUGUUGCAGAUAAGCUAUGCCUUGGACUCCAUAUCAGCCGGCCAGAACAUCACAGAUGGUCAAACGAUAGUCUCUGCCGGUGGGAACUUUGAGCUAGGAUUCUUCAGCCCCAGCAACUCCAAGAACCGGUACGUGGGCAUAUCGUAUGAGAAGCUAUCAACUGGGAGGGUGGUUUGGGUCGCAAAUCGUGAAAAUCCCCUGAAAGACUCUUCAGGAGUCCUAAAGCUCACUCCUGAGGGUGUACUGAUUCUCCUGAACCUUACCGAUGGGGUCGUUUGGUCCUCCAAUGUGUCGAGAUUGGCCCAGAAUCCGAUUGCGCAGCUUUUGGAUUCUGCCAAUUUCGUAGUAAAAGAAGAAAAUGACAAUGACUUGGGUAACGCAAUCUGGCAGAGUUUUGAUCACCCUUGUAAUUCGCUUUUGGCUGACAUGAAGCUUGGUAAAGACCGAGAAAAAGGCCUGGACCGGUACUUGACCUCAUGGAAAAGCAGGGAUGACCCUUCACCGGGUGAAUUCACAUAUAGGCUCGAUACUUCAGGAUAUCCGCAGCUGAUCCUGAUGAACAGAUCAGUAGUGCAGUCCAGUUCGGGACCUUGGAACGGCAUUCGGUUUAGCGGGAUCCCUCAGUUGACGCAAAAUGCAGUUUUUGGGUUUGGCUUAGUCUUCAACCAAAAUGAAAUUUACUAUUACUUCAAUCUUCUGAAAAGUUCUGUCCCGUCAAUACUGGUUUUAAAUGAGAAUGGUAUCGUUGAGCGCUUCAAUUGGGUAGACCGGACACAGGGUUGGAUUCUGUAUUCGUCUCCUCAAACAGAUGACUGUGACACUUAUGCAUCAUGUGGAGGGAAUGGGAGUUGCAACAUUGCUACUUCUCCAAAAUGCACGUGUUUGACAGGGUUCGUGCCCAAAGACCCUAGCAACUGGGAAUUUGGGGAUUGGUCAAACGGGUGUGUCCGGAGGACUGAACUGGAUUGCUCGGGAGGAGAUAAAUUUCUGAAGUACACCCAAGUGAAGUUGCCUGACACGAGGCAAUCGUGGUUCAACGAGAGAAUGAACCUUCAAGAAUGCGAGCAGACAUGCUUGAGGAACUGCUCGUGCACAGCUUAUUCAAACUUGGAUAUCAGAGGGCAAGGAAGUGGAUGCUUACUUUGGUUCGGUGUCCUGAUGGAUAUUAGACUGGUCAACGACAACGUCCAGGAGUUUUACGUAAGGAUGGCUGCAUCAGAAGUUGGUACGUGUAUAAACCCUGAGUUACUUUCGAUAUGAUGACCCAAGGAAGAGAAUGAGUUCAAAAUAACUGUCGGAUUCUUAGUAACUCUAUUUUCAAUUUAUUGUAAUGUGUAUCAAGGCAGCAGUUUCAGCGGAAAUACUGGCGCAAGGAAAAGCACGGGCAUCAUUGUCGGCACCGUGCUGUCUGCGGUGCUUCUUCUUGGUAUCGCGGCUGUUUUCACGAAGUAUAGGAAAGAUGGUAAAAUCGUUUUUAUCAGAAAAUUACGGUUUCCAAGCAAGAUGCCUUUCUUGAUCCACAAGAGUCGUUUUUUAACUCUUCUUAGCAUAGGUUUUAAACGUUGUUGCUCUGCAUGAAAUGCAAAGUUUCAUCAGAUCAUCUCUCUUUGAAAAUUUCGAUCAAUUGGCCUGAAAAAUAUGAAUGAACCAAAUGUGUGUUGCUUUGAAUUUUGUUUUGGGUUUUUUAAAGCUCAAUUAUGAUUUCUCUUUAGUUGAUGAAUUUACUCACUUUAAUUUCUACUUGUAGGACAAAUCUUUGGAUUCUCCCAUCAAAGCCGUAGUGAAGAUCUAGACUUACCUAUGUUCGGCCUCACAACCCUAGUGAACGCGACAGGUAACUUCUCUGAAGACAACAAACUCGGAGAGGGAGGCUUUGGAGCUGUCUAUAAGGUGACUAUUCUCAUUUUUUGGAAUUCUAAAUCUGCUCGUACAUAUCCAAAUCGAAAAGGGAGCAAAAGAACUUCUAUCUUUUAGGGUGUUCUGAAAAAUGACCAAGAAAUUGCCGUGAAGAGGCUGUCGGAAAACUCUAGGCAGGGACAGGUCGAGUUCAAGAACGAAGUCGCUUACAUCGCAAAACUUCAACACCGAAACCUCAUCAAGAUUCUGGGAUGCUGCAUUCAAGUAGAUGAAAUGAUGUUGAUCUAUGAGUUCUUGCCCAACCGAAGCUUGGAUUGUUUCAUUUUCGGUUUGCUUCGCUCCAGUCCCUACAUUUUAAUUGCUUUUGUCAUCGAAAAAGAGUGAAGAAGCUUCCAUUUCAUAACUCAUAAGGCCUAUAAUUUGGCAGACCAAGAGAGGGGUGUUUCCCUGGAUUGGCCUAGGCGCUUCACUAUCAUCAAUGGCGUAGCUUUGGGGCUCCUAUACCUUCACCGAGACUCAAGAUUAAGGAUUAUUCAUAGAGAUCUGAAAGCUGAAAACAUCCUGCUCGACAACGAAAUGAAUCCGAAGAUAUCAGACUUUGGUUUGGCGAGGAGUUUCGGAGGUAAUGAGAGCGAAGCAAAUACAAAGAGAGUGGUGGGAACAUUGUGAGUUCUCUUGACACAUGAUCUCCUCUGAUUUUGGUCCAAUUGCUUCAAGAACUAAUCAUUCCUUUCAAUAACUUUUUUGCAUAGUGGUUACAUGUCCCCAGAGUAUGCCAUCAACGGCUUUUAUUCGGUAAAAUCAGAUGUCUUCAGUUUUGGCGUUUUAGUACUGGAAAUCGUGAGCGGGAAAAGAAAUCGAGGUUUCAAUCAUCCUGACAAGUGUUUAAGCCUUCUCGGAUAUGUAAGCGUAAAGAUUUAUCAGAUUUCUUUGCUUAUUUAUCUUCAGUUAGUUUCUAGUCUUAUUCUAGAUGACUAACACAAUAAUGCAGGCCUGGACACUCUCAAGAGAUCAAAAGUUCAUGGAGCUCGUCAAUCCAUCGAUUGCAUCCGCAUUUAACCCUGUGGAAGUUUUACGAUCCAUCCAUGUGGCUUUGUUGUGUGUUCAAAAUAAUCCGCACGAUAGACCGGAGAUGUCAUCUGUGGUUAUGAUGUUGAAUAGUGAGAGCACAUUGCCUCAGCCUAAACAGCCUGGUUUUUUUUACGAGACAUCUGCAUCCGAAGCAAGUUCUUCAAGCGACAGCAGGCAUAAGAAAUAUUCAGCCAACGAAAUAACUAUUUCACAUUUACUGCCUCGAUGAUAUUUCUGUAAUUUCAAUUAUGUUUAUAUUGAUCCCAUAUGAAUACGAGAGGAUCAUGGCAUUUGUAUGAGAGUCAUCUCUUAAUCUGGAAUUGAAAGACCUUACAGGGACAUGUGAAAGAUUCCUUUGUUCUUCCAAAAUUUUCUGGAUUCCGGUCAGAAAACGAAGAAUGUGUACACGGACCACAAAGUGAAAAUUUCAGUCUUUUCUUUUUAUGAUAUUCUAGCAAAGAAACCCUUGAAUACCUUAUUAAGAAUACCCAUGAACUUAGGGAAGUAAACUCGCAUUUUUGAAAGAAUCCUUAAUGUUUCAAUGUCUGAUUCACUUUGAAUCAACAAAAUUAUAAAUCAGGGAAAAAGUGGCCAUGACUACAAGCGAGAUCGUAAUCAGUACUAAAACCGUUGCUCUGUCAAGAUCUGCACAGUGAUGUUUCUUCUAUCCUAUCAUGCCAAAAUAACCAUGUCCUUCAGAUCACAGCCUGCAUUAUGGUGACAUCAACAAGCUCAAAUGCACCUAAAACAGGAAAAAAGGAAAAGGAAUUGACUUCCCAAAAGUGUUGGCUAUAAAUGAAAGAUUAUUGUAUCAUCUUAAGAGCCAUCUUUGGGACUCUAGACGAACAGAAUAAGAACAGAAAUCUUACACAGCAUAGAGGUGUUGGAAAAUGCAUAAAGAAGUAGGAAUUGGGUGGGAAUGAGAUUGACUGACCUCCUUGCUACUAUAGUCAAUGGGCACAACCCAUUACAAUCACUAGAUUGGCCCAGACAGUUCACUAUCAUCAAGGAAAUGAGAAUGGAGCUAUUGUAAUUGAUAUUGCAAUGAACCUGAAGAUAUUGGACUUUGAUUCACUAAGAUGUUUCCGACGUAAUGAGAGGGAAGGAACCAAACACAGAGACUAAGGGAGCUGUCCGAACAUAGUGAGUCCUCUACUGAAACAUCUGAAUUAUGCUUAAAUUUGCUUCAAAAACUAAUACUUCUGUUUGAUCAUUGAAUGUAGUGGUUAUAAACCCUCUCGGUAUGCCAUCGAUACUGAAUAGACUUGGGUUUCAUUGGUACAGUAUUCUAGUCAUCCUAAUCAUAGGCCUGGGAUGCCUCUGUGGUUAUGAUGCCUGGGGUAGAGCGCAUUGCCUCAGCCUAACUAGUUCAAUUAUUCCUUAGAGGAGAUUAUAUUCAAAACAAGUUCUUCAAGUUACGGCGAGUACCCAAGAUUUUCAGCCUAAUUAAAUGACCAUUUCUGGUAAAAUCUAGACAGACAAAUCUGCUAGCUCCUGCUGACCAACCAUCAUGAUUUGGUACAGCACAAAAAAACUGAUGGUGUUUAAUCUAACAUUAUGAAGUUAUCGCUUCCAUUUAUUAUAUCAAGAAUUUACAUUACAGAAAGGAUCAGUUUACAUACAUGAGUGCUGUUGGUGCUUCUACCUUGCAUCGCAUUAUAUUAAAUUUUCCAUGAGUUUUCACUCCAGAGAGUUUAAACAGUCGAGAAGGAGAACCUAGUCACACGUACUUUUUACAUAAUGCAGUAUAAUAGUUUAGGCUGCACAAAAUUAUAUCUUUACCCAUUCUAGGCCCGAUGUCCCAUCUGGUGUGUUGCUCUGUUGAAGUUCCAAGUAGUCCUUGUACUUCAUCUAGUUGUACACCGCUCAGUUGUUCUCGCCAUCCACCAGCUGUUCCACUGGCAUGACAACUGUGUCCAGCGACGGUCCACUAGAUAUAGAGAUUGAUAGCCUUGCUGUUCAUGAAAGCUGGAUGCAGAAUGCUCUUGUACUUCCCAUUGCUCAUAACCUUGCGUGAAAAGUGUCGAGAAAAAGAAAAAAGUUAGUUGCAAAUAAGCUUUAUGGUAAUGAGAAGAACUAUAUGUACCAUAGAUUAUGUGUAAUAACAAUGCCCUUCCAUAAAGACCUCUGUCGUAUCUGCAUCUAUAAACCAAGGCACACUUUACACUUCGCACACCAAAAUUUGAAACAAAUUGGACCUCUCUUGCAAAAUUUAUGGGGGAGAUUUGAAAGAUGAAACAUUAAUUCCUACCUAUGUACCUCGAGGUGACCACCAGUGUUGGCCAAAACGGCGUUUGGAAUGGGAUCGACUUCGACCCACUUCCAGCUGAGGUGCACUGGAAGGCCACCAAUUCCAUUCUGCAUGAGGAUGGUCAACAGGCCAUCGUCCAGGUGUCAGACCAUGCCCCAAGCUAGUUCCGGCUGCGGGCACAGCGGAUACAGAUUCGCCGUUAAUAUCUGGAGGCUUGAAUCCAGGUUCACUGCCUCGUUGAUAUAGCCCAAUUGGAGUCGUGAGAAGGAGCGGGCCUAAGAGGAAAGCGAGCUCGAGAGAGUGUGAGCUCGAGGGAGUGAGGGAGGCUCAGUUUUUGCCUUGGUCGAGAGAGAAUCCAGAGAGAGACCGAGGGUCGAGUACAAGGAGCCUUAUCUAGCGACUCAACCACACUCCACCACCGUCCGACGACCUCUCCCAGCCGACGCCCUUGAGCCAAACCGGUAAGCCCCAACCCUCUUGUUGGCCAUAUUUUCGAGCAUACCGGGCCAGAGCUUGCGGCCGUUCGACUCACGCGAGCUCUGGCCAUCGCCCGUUGUGAGCGUCCUAGUUUAGCCAUCGAGAGUCCCGACGCAGAUCCCGAUCUUUCUUGGGCCGAGAAUUUUUAGUUUCGAUAGAGCACUCCACCUGUUCGGUAAAAAGUCUGAAUGAGAUCCAGUCCUGUUUCGUCAUUUAGGCACCGUCCCACCUAGUCGAGGUUUUUCCUGUGAUUUUUUAACGUCCCUUGGCGACCCACGAGCGGCCGCGGAUCUCUUCUGUUCCGGGGGCAUAGGUGGCAGCUCUUGUGGCCAUCGAGUCGCCACCGGUCGGACGAGGGCUAAGCAUUAGGCUCGGGUCGGUCAAAGGCAGCGCCGUCGCGCCUCGGUUGGACUUAAGAAACGCGGCAUCUUGCUGCUGCACCACCUCCGUCGUAUCGUAACUGGUCCGUUGCGAAGUAGCAGGUCGCGAGCUGGGUCAGUGGGCCAAACCCGAUGCUGUCACCAGACUUUCGUCGUCGAUGGCCUGUGUAGAAUAUCAGUCAGCGGCAAAAGAAGUGUUGGUGUUAAGAGUUUUUAGUUUCUAUAAAUAAAUUGCAGACGAUGGAGGGAGACGUUCGGUGAAGAAGACGUGGAGGAGUAGAACGCACGAAGGGGAAGAGGCAAUUAAAAACAAAAGAAAAAGCAAGAGAAAACGUGCACCCAAAAGUUAAAAAGAAAAAGAAAAAAAAAAGCAAAAGUUGCUUCGGGAAGGAGGGGUGGCAGAAAAGAAAGUGCAGUAGAAGAAGACGAAAUAGCGAAGAAAAAUAUUAAAUUUAAAAAGUUAGAAAAAAUAUCUUUUUAUCUAACUGGGUCGGAUCCGGGUUUGGACUACGUUAGCGGGUCGGAUCGGGUUCUUCCGAUCCGAACCCGCUCACUCGAAUAUUAUAAUAUUAAAAAUCUCAACAAAUUAAAAAAUUAAAAAGAAAACAUAAAAAAUAAUAAAAAUAAUAAAAAUUCAAAAAAUCCUCCGAAAAUUCAAAAAAAUUAGAAACAUUUAAAAAAAUCAAUUUUUUUUUUAAGUUUCAAAAAAUUGUAAAAUCUAGAUUUUUUGGGGGGAAAUUUGAAAAUUUAUUAUUUUCUUAAAAAAAUUGAAAUAUUCGAAAAGAUUCUAAGAAAAUUAAAAAAUCUUCAAAAACGUUAAAAUUAAUCUUUUUUUGUUUUGGUGAAGGUAAGAAAUAUAUUGACUUUUAACCAAAGAGCUAUAUAAGGCUAUACGGCAACAACUCGGUCCCAUUAACUUGCACUCACACAGACAACAAAUCAGAGCGAGUGAAAGGGGGCCAAGGUAAAAAAAAACCAAGCCAAGGCAAGGGAAGGGGAAGGCCAAACAACGGCACAGAAACAGCAAGCCUAAACCAACACAAGCAGCAAAGAGACAGCUCUAAUGUUGGUAAUGGACCGUCUCGGAAGCCAGAAGGAGGGCGAAUCCAUCAACUCGCCAAAAUGGAGGGGUUGAGCGACCAGCUUUGCAAUAAUCUUCUGUUAGCCGCAGUGGGAGGGACUUGAUGGAAAGUCAAGGCUUUGUCCUUUAUAACUUGUUCAAGGCGCCUUUUCAUGGCCAAAAGGGAGGGAGGUCUACCCCGGAAUAGUAUAUUGUUAUGCUCCUUCCAAGUGAUGUUGCAUAAAGCAGCAAAUGCAAAGCGAGCAAGAGAAGAGCGGAAGGAAGGUCCUGAAAGUGAAUUGAUUGCCUAAAGCAAGUUUUCCUUCCAAGAUUUAUUCUGCCAAGCAUAAUUAAAUAUUGCGGCCCAAAAAGUGGCUAAGGCAGCAGGAAUGGGGCAUCCAAAAAACAAGUGAUCAAUUGAGUCUGGGCGACAGGAGCAAAAGGCACAGUUCCCAUCCAGUAUUCUACCAAAGGUAAGGAGUAGUACUUGAGUCGGUAGUCUAUUUUUUGUAAUCAACCAUAGCAAGAAUUGGUAGCGGGGUACCAAUGAAUUGUUCCAAAUGAAGGGCGCCCACUGUACUGGAUGACUAGUUGGCCGAAGAGCGUCCCAAGCAGAUGCAGCAGAAAAGGUGCCAUCCGAGCUGCCCAGCCAAAGAAAACGAUCAUCUUCAUCAUUGAGUUCAGGAAGGGGAUCAUCCCAGGAGGUAACCACAUCCAAAACACCCGAAUAUGGGUUAGGACAGGAGAAAAAGUCAGCGACUGUAGCUUCUUUGGGUAACCGAGAGCGGUAAAUGUCUGCAUUGGAAAAUAAUAAGUUCAGCGGCCCUUUGGGGUGCCAGUUGUCGUACCAGAAGGAAGUUGAGCAGCCAUUUCCAACACGCCAGCGAAAGCACUUGCGAAACUUCACACGAAGGUCCAAGAUUUUUUUCCAAGACCAAGAGCAAGAGGUGGGUUUAGAUGCCAGCCAAAAACUAACAUUUUUCAAGAAGACAGAGUGUAUCCAUCUGCACCAAAGGGAUUCUCUAUCUGUAAAUAACAACCAGAUGUGUUUUAGCAUGGCCGCGGUGUUGCUUUCCCUGAGUCUUCGGAUUCCAAGGCCCCCUUCAGAUUUCGGGAGGCAUACAUCAGUCCAAGCGACCUUGGCACCACCCCUACCUAGGUCCGGGCCCUUCCAUAGGAAUUGCCUCAAAAUCCGCUCAAUAUCAUCCAGAACCGAUCUAGGAAGAAUGAAGACAUUCGCCUAAUAGGCUUGAAUGGAAUGGAGCACCGACUUGAUAAGUUGUAGCCGACCCGCAAACGAGAGAAAGCGUUGUGUCCAAGAUUGCAUCCUUGAAGUGAUGAGAUUAACCAGUGUAGCACAAUCAACUUUGCGAAGUCUAGAAGAAAGAACGGGAACCCCCAGAUAUCGGAAAGGCAUGGAUCCCUCUUGGAAGCCAACUAGAGAGAUGAAAUCGCUUCGAGAUUUAGGGCCGACCCCUGAGAAAUAAAUCUCACUCUUAUGUAGAUUCGGUUGGAGGCCAGACCAUGUGGAAAAACUAUCCAAGCCUACCUUGAGAAGAGAAAGGGCGGGCAUAGACGCCUCCGCAAACAGCAGCACGUCAUCCGCAAAAAACAAAUGAGUAAGUCUAAUCGGCUUGCAUCUCCAAAAAAAUUGGAAUGAUGGUUGAUUGGUUUGCUUAGUGAUGAUGCCUGUAAAAACUUCCAUGACAAAGGUGAAAAGGUAGGGUGACAUGGGAUCUCCUUGUCUAAUGCCUCUACCGCUAGGGAAGAAUCCAUGGAGUUCGCCAUUAAGGGAGACCGAGAAAUGAGACGAUCGAACACAGCUCAUAAUAAGGUUAAUAAAGUGGAGGGGAAAGCGAAAAGCUUGAAGCGUUACCUCAAGAAAAUCCCAAUUGAGUGUAUCAUAAGCUUUACGGAAAUCAACUUUGAUGGCGCACCUAGGCUUAUGUGGGUUGAGGUGGAACCCCGCAAAAAGCUCCCGAGCUAUAAAUAUGUUGUCGCUAAUUCGUCUUCCUUUAACAAAGGCGUUUUGAGCAGUACUAAUGACAGAAGGCAUGAUGGCAGCCAUACGGUUGGCAAUAAUCUUUGUAAUGCAUUUGUAUAUCGUGUUGCAACAAGCAAUCGACCUGAAAUCAUUUACCGUAGUAGCAUUUGGGCAUUUCGGUACAAGGGUGAGAAUAGUGUUGUUAGAUUCCUUGAGGAGCUUUCCAGUAGUGAAGAAAUCACUAAUCGCAUUAGUAACCAGAGGGCCAACAACAUCCCAGCAAUGCUUAAAGAAUUCCACGCCAAAGCCAUCGGGGCCCGGUGCUUUACCAGUUGAAAUGGAGAAUAAGGACUCACGAAUUUCCGCAUUAGAAACAAGCCUUGAGAGGUUGAGAACCUGGCUGUCAUCAAGAACCCGAGGGAUGAUCGUUGAGACGUCCUGAGCUGAAGGUAGAUUAGGGAGAGCAGUGGAGGCCAAAAGGUCUCGGAAGUGAGAGACCACAAGUUGUUGAACUUGAGGAGGGUCUUGAACUGUAUUCCCUGCAUCAUCCCUUAAAAAUAGGAUUCUAUUGAGGAGAUGCCUCUUGUUCACUGAAUGGUGGAAGAAUUUGGUGUUAAGAUCACCCUAUUCAAGCCACUUAACCGGAGACUUCUGCUUGUAAAAGCUUUCUUCCUGUAGGCGUAGGUCCGAGAAAGAGUUUAUGCAUUCUCGCUCGUGGGCUGCAAGCUCCAAGUUAAAUGGAUCCAAAUGAAGGGCUUCCUGUGUGGCAGUUAAAGCAUUACAGGCCUCCAUAGUUCUAGCAGAGAUGUCUGAAAAUGAUUCUUUGUUAAGGCUCUUGAGCUUAGCCUUAAGCAACUUCAACUUAACAUAGAGAGUGUACAUGGCUUUACCCCUAACCGGCGAGUCCCAAGCUUGGCGAACUAAUUGGGUAACGGACGGAUGUUGCAUCCAAAAGUAAAAAAAUUUGAAAGGCUUCUUUGUCUUUGGAGUAGGGAAAAUUCUUACCACCAUUAGAGAGUGAUCUGAGAUGCCGGCCGGAAGAAACGAGGCUUCGGAGAAGGAAAAUGCACUACUCUAGCAAGAGUUGAUGAGCACUCGAUCAAUUUUCCUCUGCUUGCAAUUUUCACCAGAGGAAGUAGCCCAGGUAAAUCUACAGCCAGUAUACCGGAGAUCCUCAAGUUCCGCUUGAAGUAAGCAAGUUCCAAACUCAUCAUAAGACGGUAACCAGGUGGAGAGGCUGCCAGCCUUAUCCGAGGGAAACCUAAUGGCAUUAAAAUCGUCGGAAAUCAGCCACGGCGAAGCAUUACGAGAACCACUGGUCUGGAUCAAGUCUUGCCAUAAAGGACGCCUACGCACAAAGGUGUGCUCAGCAUAUACCACCGAAAGGUAAAAAGCUUCACCAGUAGAGAGACAUUUCAAAUGCCCAUGAAUGACUUGAUGGGAGGAAGAGAGGGAGGUAAACUCAACCGCUUUAGGAUUCCAUCCAAUCCAGAUCCUCCCUUUGUCAGAGUGCUCGUAAUUAGCAAUCCAGACCCAACCAGGCACAAGACAUUGAGAUAACGAAGGAAACAAAAUGGGAGAAGCCUUCGUUUCCAAAAUGCCCAAACAACUCAGGCUAUUGACUCUAAUGAGGUUACGGAUCUCAGCUUGUUUAACAAGAGCACCCAAUCCUCUUAUAUUCCAAGUAGCUAUAUACAUAUUUACAAGAUGGCGGGGGACUUACUUUUUACCUCGCUUUUUCUUCGAGGUAGUUUUCGGUUUAGGGCUACCCGGAGCAUUACUAUCAGAGGAGGUUGGCUGUACUUCACUUGGUUGAUGGAUAGGGGAUGGAGGUCGAACCUGUUCAGCAAGGGGAGACAGACCCACCGGAACCGAGGAAGCAGCAAGCAACCUAUCUUCUUCAAAUUCGGAUCUAGCAAUAGAGGCCUCAACAUCCGAAUCAUCCUAAAAAACAGAGGAGGUAACCACUCGCAUGCGGGGGGCGUUAAGGUUUAUUGACAAGGAGGGUCCAGCCUUUUGUUGGUUAGGAAUAACCCCCUUAGUAGGAAUAACUGGGCUUUGAGGAGGAUCAAUAGCGGAGACAGGCAAAGAAGCACCAGCACGGGUGCCUUUUUUUCCCUGAACCACCUUCCACCCUUCAUCUACUCGAGUUUGCUGAGCAUGAUCAGCAGGCCGGGAUAAGUCACCAGUAGGGUUGGUAUUUGCAGCAGAUGUACUAGAAGGACGGGCAGGUAUGUUGGGGCCACAAACAUGACCAAAGGAGCAACAAGCAGGGCAUACAACAGGCUUCCAUUCAUAUAGAACGUUCACUCGGCGAGUGGUUCCUUCGAUACCAAUUGGUAUAGACUCUGGUAAGGUAUGUUCAGCAUUGAUCUCAACGCAAACACGCACAUAAGAUAGGGUGCGAACCUGUUCCGUGUGCUGAUCCACAUAUAAGGGGCGACCAAUAGUACUAGCAAUAGUGCUAAUUCCCAUGGCAGACCAAAGAGCAAGCGGAACGUUCCUGAGUCGAACCCACACCGGAACCGUUUUGUGGCUGUUCCUUUUAAGUUCUAGCAAUGGGUGCCACUGUUGCAGAAUUAGAUGCACCUUCGCCACAGUGGGAGGCGCACCAUCAAGAACCUUCCUCCGAAAUUCAAGGUCCGGUAGAUGAAAGAAAUAAAAACCAUCAUCAUUCGCUCGGACUUCCAGAAGUUGGGACCCCCAAACGUUCUUCAUAGCAAUUUGAGUCAUCUGGAAUGGCAAUCGUUUGCCUACAUAAUAACCCACAAGGCAUUCCUUCCAUUUAGGAUCACAACCUUCAAGGACUUCGGAUGGAAUCUGGGCAAAUGGUUCACCAUCAACCACAUCUGGAGGCACAUAAGUGAGGUCAUAUCCCUUGGUUGCAGCCUUAGCUAUAUUUGCCCAAGAAAGGGCUUGUGCCUUGGCAGCCUCAGGAUCUAACGGGGCAACACGCCCUCUAGAAGGCUUACGCGUCCCUGCAGGUUUAGUGUCAGGUUUACCAGAGGUACCAGCAACAAUAGAAACAGCAGGUGGACGAGCUCGAGUGGGAGGAGAUUGGGCAGGGGAGGCAACAGCCUUGCCCUUGCCCGAAGGAGGAUGAGAUCUCUUACCACGGCUACGGCCCCUGGACCAAUCACGCUGGGCCUUCCUUGAAGUACCGCGUUCACGAGCGGACGUAUCCAUUUGCUCAAAUAGCCCAGCACAGCAGAAAGGAAACCAGAAAAACCUAUUUAAGGAAGAGCAUUAAUACCCGGGGAAGCCAAGUUUUGCAAGAUGCUUCGGUGGAGUCCAAGGGUGGAGGAGGGAGAGAAAACCCACGAAGACCCAGCACCCCACACCAGCCGAGGAGCUUGCACCAGCAGAAUCGGAUUCGUGAAAACCAGAAAAAAGGGGGGGCGCUCCGAUCGAAGGGCACCGGACAUCAACGGGGAGGAGAUAGCCUAAAUCCUUCGGUGAAGAAGGAGAGGGUGGUUGGGAGAAGGGAUCUACCGGAGCUCAGCUCCAACGAUCCAUCCAAAUGCCCGGAUUCAGCGGCAGCAGUCGCGAGUGAACAGGAGAGCGAUCGCACGGCUUGAGAGCAUUUUGUGAACAGUACAGGUCAGGUCAAAGUCUGCGAGACGUUAAAAUUAAUCUUUCGGGCUAUUUUCUCCUAAAAAAUGGAAGUAUUCCAAUUUAAAACUAUGUUUAAGUUUGAAUAAGCCUUUAGGGCUUUACCUAAGAGUUUCAAUUAUCCUUAGGAACAAAUGCCUUGAAAUGCACAAUAUUGAUACAGUGAGUUUGGCUUCUCUUUAGUCUAGUUAGGAUUAACAUUUGUCUUCUCUAAAGUAUUAAAUCUUUGCUCUCCUAUGCAAUUUAUUUAAUGAUUUCCUUGGUUACUAAUUGUUAUUUUAAUAAUUGCACAACCACAUGAUCAUCUCAUAUGUUAACGGAUUGGUCAAAAGUUAAUCCAAACUGCCUGACAAAAAUCAUUUUUAAAAUAAAUAAGAUUAAAUACUGAAAUGACACUAAUUUGUUAAUUAGUGUAAUGAAGUCCCCGACUCUAGAUACUCUAGUUGCAUAGAAAGUGAGGUACACUCACAUACCUCAUUUAGUUUCUAGCCAACCCCAAUAGGCUAGUGGCGACUCUUUAUUACGAAAUUCUUAAGAAUACCCCAAUGUCGGGCAAUAUAUGGUCUUGGGAGAGCUUGUGCCUAAUUAUGUGCUUUAGGUCCGUCUUUUAGGCAAUAUCCCUAAACCUAUUUUCUCCUUUGAGGGGUUGGUAGUGACAAGCGGUCUAGCGAUGGCUUGGCAUCGGCAUGGCCUUUGGACUUCUCAAGGGACCAAACUAAAGAAGAAAUGAGCAAGAGGGAGUUGCUGUGGGGGCUAGGUAGUGCCCUCCUCAGCUUCAAAGCUUGGUUAUAGUGACAGAAACGGCGUGCGGAGGGUGGUGCAGUGUCGAGGUUCAAAGGACGGUCGUUGUUAAUAGAAAAACAAAGGGAAAAUGAAGAGAAAAGUUUGCAAAAGAGAUGCAAAUGGAUGAGGGGAGGUUCAGUUAUGGCAAGGAGGGAGAGAAUAGUGAGAUUGAGAGUAAAAGCGAAGAAAUGAGAGAGAAUGAGAGGGAGGGAGGAUGGCCAGCGGUGUGGGGCAAGAGGAAAAAGAGAGACAAAGAGAAAUUUUGCUCAUUCAUGCCCAUCAAAUCCACAUCUUCUUGGACUCAUAUCAAUCAAUCAAGGUGGCUUGUUUAAGAAGGAAAAAUUCUUACAUUAAUGAGGUGAUUUAAGCACUUGAAUGGGUAAGCUUAGGUUUAGGGUAGUUAGGUAGGCUAGGUGGCUUCCCUCAAGCUCUUGGAUGCCCACUCUUACUUGUACCGUCACCUCUAUAUCUAAUUUCCCACUUUGUCCUUUUGUACUUAGUCCAAUGGAAGGGCAUUUUAGUCAUUUCAUCAAGAUUGUGCACUAUUCAUGCACUAUUCACGUAUUUGGUUGCAUUAAAUGUCAAUAUUUUAUGAAAAAAAGGAUUAGUGGGCUUGGAGGGUCCAUGGGACUCCCUUGGCUGCCCCCCCUUAGGCCGCCCACUCUUUGGGCGUGUCUCUUCUUCCAAUCUGAAGAAUGGUUUUGUGCAAUUUUUGAAAUAAUUAUCAUUACCUUAUUAAAUGGAUUUGAAAAUUAUAAAAAUUUAAUAUGUUGUAGAGAAGACUUCAACUAACAUUUUAAAUGAGGAAUCCAAGCCUAAAUCAUUUUGUAUUAAGAGUAGAAAAUGACCGAAUACAACCUAAAAAUCUUGUCCGUUUAACGGUCUUAAUGAACACAGAAGAAAACCCAUUUCAAUAUGAAAAUAUUUGUAAAAAACUUUGAAAUUUUAGUAUGUUGUAGGCAUGGAUGUCCUCUACAACUUUUGUGAAGAAAACAUGUUCAUAUUUCAAAGGAAAAUUUUUAUAAAAAAUCGAGAAGACAAAUAGGACACCAUUUUUAUUGCAUUGGGGUAGAUUUUACGCAGUAAAAGAAUAGGCUUUCGUACCAACCAUUCACCUCAGAAAAAUCUAAAAUUAGAGCAUGUUUUAGAUCAAUAUUUUUUGAACAACUUUCAUCAAGGAAGUUUUGUGAGAUUCAAAACACAGAAAGCCCUAUAAAAUUGGAAAAUAGUGAAGGUCCAGUAGUAUGUACACUAUUCACGCGCAAAGGGCUUGGAUUUGGACUUAACUCAUUCAAUUUGGGCGUAACUUGGGUGGCAGCCCAUUGGGCUUCCAAUUUUCGGCCCAAUUUCACUUAUCCAAAAAUUUGGGGUUUAUCGAUAAUUAAGGAAUUUGAUGAAGUAAUGUCCAAUGGUGGUCACUUAAUCCUUUAAAGUCCGAUAUCUUUAACCAGAUGUAAUUGAAAUCUAUCAAAUGCGACUUAUCAUAAUUAAAAUCAAUGGGCAUCUUUUAGGGGUUUCGCGAGUUUGACUCGUGGUUGAUUCAAUAUCAAUCCUCAAUUCAUUGAUGAUCCUCGGCUAUCAUGUAAUUGUGAGGGGUCAAUUGUUUGCUUCGAAAUUGGUUUAGGGUUGUUUGGAGUUAAUAUAGUAAUUGUGCGGAAUAACCCGCAAUCCGAUUAUAUACUAUUAUCGAAUUGAUCUAUAAUUGUUCCCGGAUCGGUGUGAAAUGACUUAAUAUUAUCUCUCAUCAAUCCUUAUGGUCAAAUUGUCAAUCCAAGUUUGAGUUCUCUAGUCUUCCGCAUCGAAAUCCUAAAUUAUCUUUUCCAAUAGGUUUAAUACUCUUGAAUGGUUCACGAACCAAUUUAAAGUCUAAUUUUACUAAUUGUGCAUUAAUAGAAGUAAACCUCUUAUUAUAUUCUGAAUAGGGUUGAAUUUUGAAGAUGUCACAUUAAACGGGGUGAAUGGUCCACAACUGUUGAUCUUCAUACUAAGAGAAAGAAUAAUGUUAGAAUAUUUACUGUGGCUUAACCAUAAUUAAGGUUAUGGCAUGUAUUGAAAUAAAAUUACCCCUUCAUCUACUCUCUCCUCAUCAUCAACUCGCUAUUCUUUUCCUCGAGAAGGAAUUAAAACAUUAUCACGAUAAUUUGAAAGUUGAGAUGUUCUCUUAAUAAUAUAGAAGAAGAUAGUCCAUGGUAGUGAUUACACGUGGGAUACAAAGACAGACAGCCUGCAUAAUUAACGUGUCCGCAAAGGUCAAGUAAGGCUACAUUGUGGAAGUUGGAAUGUCAUAUCAUUCCAUAAAUCCAUCUAUAAUCAUACAAAGACCUGUCCAUCCACCGUCACUGUGCCUACAUUCAAAAUCGGAAAUGUUGCGUUGAAAUCCGGCUCGGCUCGGCUCUUUCGUCAUUUAGAAGUCCUAACCAAGCCACCGUCGCGAGCAAGGCUCAGCCAACUGGCGCCUGGGGCUGACUCUAAUGGGCUUGUACUCAGCUCAUCCGAUGAGGUGAGAGAAGUUGAGCUUGGCCUUAGACCCCUGCAUUUUAAAAGCAGCCUGGUUGUAGGCCAAUACUGCAUCCUCAAGCAUUUCAUAGGUCCCGAGCCAAAUCCGGGCUCCACUCUUCUUGGGGUCUUUUAUCUCCGCUGCGUAUUUGCCCCAUGGCCUCCUCCUCACCUCUAUAGCGCGUUUCUUCCGCCUUCUUCGCCAGCCCCUUCUCCUCCGACAUAUCAUUGAUGAUGGCAUGACCAACCAGCACCGUGCUUCAAAAUCAAGCUGUUAAAUUGAAGGGGACCCACCCCGAGUGGAGUGCAUCACGCAGUGCACCGUACACAAUCAUGUGCUUGGAGUCGUCGACACUUAGCGGGAGGUCUUCGCUCCAGCUCUCCGUGACCAAAAAGCCGGUGUAGCGUGUAGCUCGAGCACUGACAGUACAUGUUGCCAUCAAGAAGAUGAUAGCGAAUGGACUCGAGAACAUCGAAAUGAGAAAAGGGUUCUCCAGAAUGAAUUUGCACCAGCAUUUUUCCCCCUUUACAUUUUGUAGGGUUUUUCUCUGGGGACUGUAUGGUUGCAGACUUUCAGUUGGUGACCAUGGAUGGACGAAGCAAGAGAAGCAUAUAAGGGUUGGGGAUACGGAUUAGUGCAAAAACAAUAUAUACUUUUUUUAAUUUAUUUCUUCUUUUGGAGUUAUCCGCAAACUUUAAACAGUGGCGAGACUGGAACGAGUGCUUUAAAUUAUAGCGGCAGCUAUAAAUUAAUGUACAUUAUAUAUUAAUCAUCCGAUGCAAAAUUUAAGAAAAAAGGAAUGGGUCACAUUCCUUUUUUAUUUUAUUUUAUUGAACAAGGACUAUAAUGAACAGAAUGCAUGCGCGCGUGUAUUAUUUUAAUUGAAGAAAACAUAAGGUGGAGGAAAUGUUACAAGAAAUGCAUCGGUUAGCACCGCAAAUCCAUGCAAUAAUUUCAUUAUACAAUAACGAGGGACAAGAUCAUAGUGAAAAGUAAAUUAAAUCUCCAAACCUUUACCAUAUGAUUAUUUAAAUAUGUAAUACGUUUUGAAAUUCUCAAUUAACUUAUGGCCAAAUUACAAGUCUUGAUAAGGCGCGUACAGAAAAUUUGUUGGAUCGUUGUGAAGUGAUAAGGCGCGUACGAAGUCUAAGCUUCAAAAUUCAAGAACUGAAAAGGAGAAGUCAGCUUUCCUCAAACUCAGGGUUUAGGUUCAGAUAGCGGGAAAUCUCAAAACCCUAUAACACGUCCAUAUAAUUACCUUCAAUUCUAUGUGACAUAAAAAUAUAAUUUACAUAUAUCUAAGUAUUAAAAAUGGGUACGAGCAAUGGUGGACUACGGAAAAAAGAAAUUGUUAAAUUAAAGAAAGUGGGGUAGGUAAGCGCAAGCAAUUAAAACCUCUUGCACCAUUUUAUAUCACCUAUACAGGCAGAAAAGAUUAUUCGCUAAAACAUUUACUUGCAGAAGAGCAAAAGACUCAUCUGACUCUAAUUUUGCGGUUCCAUCCUUUCUUGUUUUAGCAUUUUGGACUCUCGGGGUCUUCAUUUUAAGCCAUCAAUCUAGAUCAUAUUGUCUCAAUAUCAUAAUCCAUUUACCUUGCUCUAGUGUGGGGAAUGAUCACCAACUAAGUUUGAAAAAUGAAUUUGCAAACUCAAUAGGACUAACAAGGAAUAAAAGUGAGUAUGAUAGAGAAAUGGAUGCUCUUCAUCACGUUCGUUUUUCUCUUCUUCUUUUUUUGGUUGCAUCUCUUCAUCACUUUAAGGCACUUAAAUUCACAUUUAAGUUCAUUUGCAUUAGAGACAUUUAUUGUUACAUCCCGAGCUCCACUGUGUAAUAUUGUCUGCUUUAGGUCAUCCGCCCUAGCACGGACGAAUCGCCAUCCCAUCCACGGUCUUUUCCCUCAUGGCUUUAAAACACAUUACAUAGAUUAGAGGGACCCAAGCCUUAUAAGCUGACCAAGAUCUCCCUCCCUAAGCAAUGUCAGACAAGAGAAGAGAGGGACCCCUUCCUUGCAUACGUUCGAGGACCGUCACUUGGGCUGUCACACUCUCCACAUCUUAAUAGAACAGCGUCCUCGCUAUGGCCCAACACGAGGUCGGGAGUCAGAACAGCAUUCUUGAUGUGGUCCCACACGCGGUCAAGAGUCGACUCUGAUACCACUUGUAAUAUCCUGGGCCCCACUGUGUAAUAUUGUCCGCUUUGGGUCACCCGUCCUAGCGCAGACGAACCGCCAUCCCAGCCACGGUAUUUUCCCUCAUGGCUUUAAAACGCGUUACACAGAUUAGAGGAACCCAAGCCUUAUAAGCUGACCAAGACCUCCCUCCCUAGACGAUGUGGGACAAGAGAAGAGAGGGACCCCUUCCUUACGCACGUCUGAGGACCGUCGCUCGGGCUGUCACAUUUAUAGACUGGUGCAAGUGAAAGCACGAAAAUUCUAUUCAUUUUUCACCUCAUAAUGUCACCAUUACCUAACCACUAGAGUUUACCCCAGUGGCCAUCAUUCUCACAUGAGAAGGGGGAAUUGGGAGGUUUAAAUCCUCACAUUCUCAUAGGGUUGUGAUUAGGACGAUUUAGUAUCUUGUGUGGGUUUCAGUUCCUACCUCCUACAAGAAGGUAGAACAAAAAUCUAAGAGUUGGAAUAGGAGUAAAGUAGGACUGACAAAAAAAAAAAAAAAAUGUCACCCUUACCUCCAUUUGGCCCUUGUGUGGGGUGGCUCUUAAUAGGGUUAAUUUUGAGAGAAAUCCUUUUAACAUUUAGGCUCAAAGGGUUUAAACAACAUGAAAAUUUUCAAUUCUCAUCUCUUAAUGUAUAAGGGUUUGUAUGAUAGGGCUUACCUUUCAUCAUCCUAACACAUCUUAUUUAGCAUUCUCAACACCACAUAUUAACUGAGCUUGUUUCAAAGCUUUAUGGAGAACAAAAUCAACCAACACCCAACGAGGCUGCCUUGUCUUGGGCGAGGGCCAGCCUUGCCAGAUCUAGCCUGGGUGAGGCCGACCCUCGCCGAGCCAUGCCUAGGCGAUGGCUCCCUUUGUGAGGGCUUGCCCUUGCCUGGCUAGACCUCGCUUGUGGCAUGUGAGGCUAGCCAGCCGGCCAUCGGCAAAAGGAAAAGAAUGAAGCCAAAAAAAAAAAAAAAAGGAAAGAAAAAAGAAAGAAAAAAGAAUAAAAAAAUUAAUAAUAAUUCAAAAAUAUUAAAAUAUUAAGAAAAAUUGUCCAUGUCAGUGUGGUGGUCCUAUGCAGCAGCAUCGGCAUUUACAUUAGUAUUUUCCAAACAAAAUUGGUCGAAUUGACUCAAUUGACAUGAAGUGAAAAUGUUUAGGAUUUUUUUCGACAAUUUUCCCUUGAAAUCAUAAGCAUCUUGAUUUCAGCUAAAAAUUCCCGGCCACCCUAUUAAUCCUCCCUCUUUAGAACUUUCACAACUACUUUGGUCCCAUCUUCAAGAAUGCCAUUGUUACACGCCCAAAGCCACCUUCGCCAAGGAUUCUUGACUCAUUGAAAUGAUCAGUAGCUUUUUCAAUGUAAUUGGCGCUGAAAGUUUUAACCGACCCUCCAUAAGUUGGUAAGCUAGAUUCAAAUGACAAUGAGGUAGAGCUUGGGCCACUUCCAAGGAUAGACCCUCGCAUAACUGCAAGACAUCGGCCUCCAUAGUGAGAAUGGGAGAACUCCCCUUGACCCGAUCUUGCAAUACUUAAUUAAAAUCAUAGGCUAAAUUGAAAUUGGGACAUCUACUAAGACUCAUCUUUCUUGAAAUGGCACUAAAUUGAAAUUCCUCUUGUUUCAUUAAUAGCCCUCGUCGGGUGUUGGUCAUUUUCUUGGCCACCACACUCAUGUUACGAAAUCGCACAUCGAUUCCAGAAAAAUAAUGCUCGCUAACAAUUCACUAGGUAGAAUAUAAUAAUUAAAGAAUAGAAUCAGAAGAAUACGUUAGAAAAUUUGUUAACGAAGUUCACCAAAACCUGGGUUACGUCUUCAGGCAGAGGCACUCUGCGAAUCCACUAUAUUUUGAAAAAAUUUGGAAAUACAAUGAUGAUCUUCUCUCAAGAUUAUGGCACAAAGAGAUUGAGAACUCUCAUAAAGAAAAAAUUCUCUUUUUUCUUCUCUCUUUUUCUUGUCUCUCUAUUUUUCUUUUUCAACGUCUAGACGGCCAGUGUCUUGCCAUCGCUAAUAUAAAGAUAUCACUUUUAACCUAAAAGCAAAUCUAAUAGAAAAAGACAAAAAAAACCUUCUAAAUAUAUUUGGCUUCAUCUAUAACAAUCUCCCACUUGAAGACAAAUAUACUAGAGCACCAAGCAACUUUGCAUCCAUCUUCUUCAAAAAAUGGUAGUUGAAAACUUGUGCUUCUGCAAUACUCUUCAUCAAUCAACAUAGAGUAAUACCAAUGGUAGUAGUAUAGAAAAUAUGCUUCUCUUUGUCUACUACCUUAGUUAACAUAUCAGCUGGAUUCUUCGAGCCAUCAAUCUUCUAUAGCUUUAACUCAUUAUCUUUCAAUGCUGACUUGAUAAAGUGAUAACGUUUCUCGAUAUUUUUAGUCCUUAAGUGAUAAGCUGUAUUCUUUGCUAAGUACACUGCACUUUGGCUAUCACUCCACAGUAUAUUGACAGGCUAUUUUCGAUGUAGCUCCUCCAUAUAAUCUUGUAACCACAUGAUUUCCUCGGAGGCUUCUGUGAUCGCCAUGUAUUCUACCUCUGUCAUCGAUAAAGCCACUACUUUUUGUAGUUUAGAUACCAAACUUACUGCUGUACUUGCAACUGUAAAGACAUAUCUAGUGGUACUCUUAUCAUUAUCUCGAUCACCUAAAUAAUCUGCAUCUACAUAACUUGCAACUCUAGAGAUAUAUCACCAUAACAAAGUGAGUAAUUGGAAAUACUUACUAGAUAUCUCAAUAUCCAUUUCACUACAUUCCAAUGCUCUCUACCUGGGUUCUGCAUAUAUCGACUCACAACUCCCACUGCUUGUGCAAUUUCUAGUCUCGUGCUCAACAUAGCAUAUAUCAAACGCCCCAUUGCUGAUACAUAUGGAACUAUCGACAUCUCAUCUUUCAAAGCCUGAGUGCUCAGACACAUAUCCUUGGAAAGUUUGAAGUGACUCGCUAGAGGAGUUGCAAAUGAUUUUGCCUUGUCCAUGUUCUUUAACACCUUGUUCACAUAGUCUUCCUGCGACAUCCAUAAUUUCUUAUUUUUCCUAUCCCUGAUUAUUUUCAUGCCUAAAAUAUUCUUGGCCCCUCCCAAGUCUUUACUAGCAAACUGUGAUGAUAACAUCUUCUUCACUUCUAUGAUUCUCUUUAUAUUGGAACUAGCCACCAGCAUGUCAUCCAUAUAUAAAGAGAGAUACACAAUGUCACCAUCAUUAUACUUACGAAAAUAAACAUAGUGAUCAGACUCAAAGUGUGCAAAUCCUUUUCCUUUCAUGAAACCAUCAAAUUUUAGGUAUCAUUACCACGGAGCUUGUUUCAAGCCAUACAAGUUUUUCUUCAAGCGACAUACCAUGUACUCCUUAUCUUUGACUUUAAAACCCUUAGGUUGUGUCAUGUAUAAUUCUUCAUUUAAGUCACCGUGUAAAAAUGUUAUUUUUACGUCUAACUGCUCAAGAUGAAGAUCCUCCACUGCAACUAUACUCAGCAGAAUUCUAAUUGAGGUCAUUUUCAUUAUGGGCGAAAAUAUCUCGGAGUAGUCAAUCCCUUCUUUUUGAGAAAAGCCAUUGACGACAAGUCUCACCUUGUAUCUAAUACUAUCAUAUGCUUAAUUUUUAAUCCUAUACACCUAUUUGUUUAAUAAAGCUUUUUUACCUAUGGAUAACUUGGUCAACUUCCAAGUUUUGUUCUGAAGUAACGAGCUCAUAUUGUCUUUCAUAGCACACUCCAACUACAAGUGAGACGUGUCUACCUUUGCCUCAUCGUAAGUCUCUAGUUCCCUUGAAUCUGUAUAUAAGACAUGGCUCAGAACAGUAUUAGCUGAUGGAUCAAAAAUUACUUUUGGCUUUCACACACAUGUAAACCUCCUCAAUACAAGUACUUUAGGGUUGUGAGUUUGCUCCGAAUCACUGCGUUCCUCUUGAACUACCUCUUCAUUGAUAAUGGACUCAUCUUGAACCUCUCUUUCAAGUGCACUUUGAUCUAUUGGAAACUUCUUCAUGGGCAUUGUGUCUAAUUCAACAUAUUCUAGUUGUACUAUCUUCUCAUGCUAUGUCUAACGAUCCUUGUACAUCUUUUCUUCAUAGAAUACCACAUUCCAACUGUAGAUGACUUUAUUAUUCUCAUAAUCCUAAAGCCUAUAACCAUACUCGUCGCCACCAUAUCCAAUAAAGACGCACUUUUGGGACUUAGCAUCAAGCUUUUUCCUAUUAUGUUUGUCAAUCAAAGCAUAUACAAUACAACCAAACACCUUUAGAUGUGAAUAAUUAAUCUUUUUACCUGACCACCAUUCUUGUGGUAUUUCUCCAUCCAACGCACUAGAUGGACUUCUAUUGAUAAGAUAAACAACUGAAUCAAUUAUGGUAGCCCAUAAGUGUAGUGGGAGACCUAUGUGUAGCCUCAUGCAUUUCGCACGUUCUAGAAUAGUCAUGUUAAUCAUUUUAGUUACACCGUUCUCUUGAGGAGUGUUAGGAAUAAUCUUUAACCCAUAUAUGCCUUAUCGACUCAAAUAUUCUGCAAAUUUCUUACUCGUGUAUUCACCACCAUUAUCAAACUUCAGAGCUUUAAUCUAAUAACCUGUCUCUUUUUCUACCAUGGUCUUCCACAUUCUGAACAUCUUGAAUACUUCUGAUUUUUCUCUAAGAGCAUAGACCCAAGUCUUCCUUGUCACAUCAUCAAUGAAUGUGAUAAAAUAUCUCUUACCACCAUAAGAGAGUUCCUGAGCAAGUCCCCAUAUAUCAGUAUGAACCAACUCUAACUUUUGGCCUUUAUUUUGUCGUCUAUUCAAUUGAAAACUAACAAUUUUCUGCUUUCCAUAAAUGCAACUCUCACAAAAAUCCAACUAACUUUUUGCAAACUUGGAGGUAAUUUCCUCAGGUGUAACUGUUUUACACAUUUUUCAUCAAGAUGUCCCAUAUGAUAAUGCCAAAGAGUAGACAAAUUACCUAUAGCAAUUGUAGUUGCAACCAUAUCACUAAUAUUGUCUCCUUGGAGAAGGUAAAGUGUACACAUAUGCUUUCCCUUUACUACUACUCUUGCCCCUGAGGUUAUCUUCCAUUCUCCGCUACAAAAGUUGUUACCAAACUUUUUUGGUCAAGUUUACUGAUUGAAAUUAGAUUUUUAAUUAAUUCCGGAACAUGUCUAGUUUCACGCAAAACUAGACGUCCUUCACCUGAGAUGUUCACAGUCAUAGUUCCUUUCCAAACAAUGGGACACAUGUGGUUGUUUCCCACAACCACUUGUUCGAAAUCUCCACCGGCAUAAUCAUCAAAUAUGUCUCUUUGCGAGGUGCAAUGAAAAGAAGCACCGGAAUCAAUAAACCAUUUAUCUAUUGUCAAGUCAAACCCUACAGACAAAUACAAGUUAUCUAGCAAAGAUUCAUCGCUAACCACAUUAGCUCAUUGAUUCUCAUCUUGUUGCUUCUUUUUAUAGGCUUCACAUUAAAACCUCCGGUGUCCGGUUUUGUGACAAAACCAAUACUCAUCUUUUGUAACCUGUCUCUUACCCUUUAAUUGUGAUUUGCCACGCCCGCUGAAUUUUCCUCUACUUUUACUUCUUCCACGGUUCUCCGCCGUGAGUGCCGUUGAAGAUGUAAAUACAAAAAAAUUAUUUCUACUUGAGACUUUCCUCCACAUCUCUUCAUCCAUGAUACUACUCACAGUAUCAUCAAGAGUUAAAUCAUCCUUCAUGGUGCUCGAAAUUCCCUGCACUACAGUAUUGUAGCUUUCUGGAAGAGAAUAUAAAAAAAGAUAAAGCUUGAAGCUUCAUAUCUAAAUUUAUGCUUACGGAAUCCAAUUGACCUGUGACCUACAUAAAACUAUUAAUAUUCUUUGCCACAGAACCUCUAUCAGAUAACUUCAUAUUAAUCAAUUUCUUCAACAAAAAUACCUGAUUUGAUGUGGAUGGUUUCUCAUAAAUAUUCGUUAGAAUAUCAAUGGCUUCUUUUGCAAUUUUUUCUUUUACGAUGUGGUACCCUGUCUUUUUUGUCAACCCUAGUUAAAUCACACAUAAUGCCUUUUGUUCAAGAAUUUUUCAUUCGGCUUCUACUGUUAGAGCUACUUCCGCCAUCUCGGGCUUCCAACCCUCAAGUGGUGCAUAUAGAUUUUUUUUUAUAAAUAAUCAUCAAUUUGUAGUUUCCACCAUCCGAAAUCCUGUCCAUUGAACUUACAGAUUAUGAUUUUAUCUUCUGCCAUCCUGUUUGCUUUCAAUCGAACAUCACCAAAAAACCCUUGAUGUUCUCGAUUAGCCAACACAAGCUCUAAUAUCAAUUGUUAUGAAAUCGCACGUCGAUUCUAGAAAAAUAACGCUCGCAAACAAUUCGCUAGGCAGAAUAUAAUAAUAGAAUAAUAGACUUAAAAGAAGAUGUUAGAAAAUUUGUUAACGACGUUCACCCAAACCUAGAUUACGUCUCCGCGCAGAGGUACUUUGCGAAUCCACUAGACUUUGAAAAAAGUUGGAAUACAACGAUAAUCUUCUCUCAAGAUCAAGGCACAAAAAGAUUGAGAGCCCCCAUAAAGAAAAAACUCACUUUUUUCUUCUCUCUUUUUCUCGCCUCUCUAAUUUUUUUUUCAGUGUCUUAAUGGUCAAUGUAUUGCCAUCACUAAUAGAAAGAUAUCACUUUUAACCUAAAAGCAAAUCCGAUAGAAAAGACAAAAAAAAAACCUAAAUAUAUUUGGCUUCAUCUAUAACAACUCACUCACUUUUUUAUUGUCUUGUAUGCUUGUCAAUUUCCUGCAAUUUUGUGCAUACAUGCUAAUGAUUAUUCAUGGCAUAAGCAUUGCCACUGGAUUUUGUUCUCCAGUAUGCCGAAGUCAACUACCAUCGAAUUGACGGUUGUUUAUGAUUUUUGAAAAUCGUUAAUUUGACCGCGAAAAGUUUGUUUGCCGAGUAGGAAUUGCCUAGGUUAAGAAUAUGGUCAAUAGUAGAGAAUGAAAUCUUGCUAUUAUUCCUCUUUUGGCCAAUUUAAAAACUAAAACGAAAAAUUCGAUUCUGCAUUCAACCAUCUGACAAAAAUUCUUCAAAGGUACAGUAUGUUUGUGGAUGUUGUCGCACCUAUAUUACCCAAAAUUGGAAGUGAUUGCUUUUUCAAAUAAAACUGAAAAUGAUUAUUGCUUGGUGAUCUUGAUCAUUGAUUUAAUUUAACUAGUAUGAAAAAUAUAUAUGUAUUAAUGUAACUAUAGGCAACAUUAAUUGGGUCAUUCAAAUGAAUAUCUAGCAUGAAAAUUUGUGCUUACAAGCACGAUGGAAAAGAGAAAACUUAUUAGUUUUGACAGAGUAUUGUGAUCAAUUUGACUAACAAAAAACUGGUGCAUUUUAUUUCCAAGAUUUACAACGCAAUGUCCUUAAUGACCCUUAUAAUCAUUGAAAAUAUCUACUGUAUGAUUAAUAUGCUAACUUUUUCAGACAUCUCUAUUCUUUCUUAACGAGAUUUUUAGGACCAUAUCUUGUGAUAUUAUGACUAACAUAUACGUAUGAUAUAUUGUUGUUAUCUAACUAUCGGAUCCUCAAGCACUAGCUGUUAAUGUCUCGAGUUUGUGUCGUGUACAACACCCAUUUCUAUUGGAGGAUUUUGAUGCGUUCAAAAUCUGAUGUUGCCUUUUCACGAAUAAUAAUCUUGGAUUAUAGUGGAUAUAUAUAAAUCCAAGGUUCAGAACAAAAUAUUCGGUGGUUACUUUUUUUUAUCCAAGUAUGAGUAUUUGACCAAGAAGUGGACAUCUCUUUCUUGUUCAACGCAAAAGUCGCACAAGAAAGACAGAUAAAAGGGCAGCUCUUGUUUAAGCCGUAUAGCGGACUCCAAGAAGGAUUACCAACGAGCCGAACAGGCGACUCUUUCUUGGACGCGCGAAAGAGUUUGUUCUUCGGCCGGGGAUUGGAGCAAGACACGUGGAAAUUAAUUUAUGUUGUGAAUUUUACAUCCAAUUGAGUUAUUUAUUUAUAAAAAUUUGGGUUUGAACUUAAUCUAAGUAUGGAAAACAUUCAAGCGUAUGAGCAAUUGUACUCUGACUCUUCGAUUAUUAGCAAAUUAUUUGCUAGUGGCUCUCACUAUGGAAUAAGUACCAACUCCAAUGUCAUUUAUUGUUCCUAGCUUAUUUCUCUAGUAAUUUUGUAUUAACUUAGGUUGCACGCAAUAUCCAAUCUAUUUAUCUAUUUUUUAAUUUUUUUUGUUGCUAGGAGUAGGUUUGAAACAAAAAUCUGUUUGGUAACAGUUUUUUCUUUCGGCACAAAUUUUUAGCCCAUAAUUAUAUUUGAAACGAAAAUAAGAAGUAUAAAUUUUCUAUUUUUUUAUUUAUGAAAUAGAAAUGAGAAAUUGAAACUUUACUCAUUGCUCACCCUUGACGCCAACCGCCUGUUGGUCCCUCCCUGCCGACCACUUGGGAGGGAGAUAUUUAAGAAGAUCUAUCAAAUGAAUUUAUGUUCUGGGAAUAGAAAUUCUAUGUCGUAAUCAAACACGUAUUUUAACUCAAAAUUUAAUCCAAAAAACAUAAAUAGGAAAAUCUUUUUCUUGUCAGAAAUAAGACCGACAAAUAGAAUGGCAUUUGCGAGCUUAAUUGCAAGAUCUUGUCAAUUUUCGCAUUAAUUUUACAACACUAGAGAAAAAAAUGUAUAUUAAAAAGAAAAUUUUGAUCAACUAGGUACAUCCAGUUCUUACAAAGUGUGAAAUGGUAUAAUUAUUUAGAUUCAUGUGACCUGAGCAAUUCCGCUUUCAUCUCUGGAGAAAAGUCCAAAAAAGGUUGGCCUCGGCUGUGUGCUUUCAUGGUCAUACGGUGCUUGAAAGCAUCGCCGCCAGUUUUUCCCUUUACCCCUCCACCUUGCGUUGCAGACGGAAGAGAAGACUCUGCAUUCCCUAAUCUUUAGAUGCUCAUAGACAUUAGUUUGUCUUACAUCUUUUGGACCACGAGUUAAAGUUUUGUUCAAUGCACACGGCUCAUGGAAGGAUUACCACAACAUGUAUCUUGUUUUCUCUGUGAUAAACUAGCGGCUGCUCUUAAAUCUUACACGAACUCGCCUCCCAAAUAUGACGACGCCAUCUUGACUUGCAGUUGUUAAGUUGCCUGUGGUGAGCUCGUGCACGUCGUUUUUCUUCCAAACCAGUCAGAAUUCAAAAUGGGGCGUGCACGAGAAAUCAAAUCUUACAUUGUAAUCGAAUCCUCGAGUUAAGAAUUAUUGCGUGCAAGUGGGGUUAGAUCCCAGAAAGUGAACGAAAAAGUUGGUGGCAUUGUUGGACUUUGGAUCUGCCCAAUGUGGUGGGCGUGUUGGGGCCGAGCUUUUGCGAACAGCGUAAACAUCAUGUACCCAAUUGUAUAAGUUUCUUUUAUUUUCUAUGUUUAAUUUUUUUUUCCCAUUGAGUGGCAAGGCUCACUGGCUGACUCUCGCUUGCCACAAGCAAGAGUGUCCCGGCCCCUAGCGGAUCAGGUUGAGGGCUACUAUUUGCAAAUUUUGAGAUUGUAUAAUGUACCCAAUGCAAAGUUUAAGAGCAGAAAUUCUGACAGGUUAAUGUAGAUGACUUUCGGAUUAUGCACCCUAUGGUAUAGUUAAGGCUGCAAAUUAUAAGUCCUGCAACUAGCAAAUACCGUCAAGUGCCGUGAAUAUACAAGAUAUAAAAAGAAUUGCUUUUUUAUUUAGGACGAUGCUAACUUUACACGAUAAUUUUUUCAUAUGCACUUAUUCAUCAUAAACUAGGUAGUUUUUAUGCAAAAGAUUCUUAUCAACUUAGUUAUGAAGAGAACUUCCCAAUGUAGGAGCAAUUUAACAUUCUAUUCUGACAAUUAUGGCUGGCAUAAAAAUAUAAACAUCUUCAAUAUUAUUUUUUAAGUUUAGUUUUUUUUUUUGUCUUCACUUAAAGGGACGCCCCAAGGGCUUUUUGUCAACAAAUCAGUGAAAGAUAAUACAUGAAAAGUCAAAGACUUAUUUUCAACUAAUGAUUAAUAUUAAUUAGAUAUAAGAGUCUAAAUUAGCCAAAUCUAAUGUGUUAAUAAAGAGAACAUUAUCAAAAAUUGCCAUUUAAUAUAUAAUCUCCACGGUGGCAAAUAAUCGAGAUCACCUGUCUCCUUGGCUCUCAAUGGGUUAAUUGAAGGAAAGCUUUUCGUUUGGGCCUCAUCAAGAGAGUUGUCAAUUUUAGUUAAAUUAUUGGCGACUCUUUGCUUGAUUGGAAGAGGGAGUUGGCGCAUUAAACGCCGCCUCGUCUCCACCAACUAUCCGAAUUAAUCUCUCUUUCUCACAAUGGCCCUAAUUGUACACUCAGAUGUUUGCCAACGAAAGGACGUGGUGACAAAUAUUAAUGGUAGUGACUGGUCAAGUAAAUAUACAGUAAAAUGCAUAAAACCAUGCGUUUCUAGAAGAGGGUCUUGUCAAAUUAAAGGCUAUCUCCCUCGCAACUACCCUAAUUAUAGCAAUCUUUCGUAUAUUUUGAUGGUUGUCCUGAGCAUUAGAAGAAAUGACGUGGAGACUUGUUAAAUUAAAGGUCAUCUCAACUCCCACAGCUACCCUCAAUUGCUCUUUCUCUCCCUCUCCUUCUCCCACAACUACCCUAAUUAAAGCAAUCUCUCGUCUAUUUAGAUGGUUGUCCCCGGGAAGCAGAAGAAAGGACAUGGAGACUGGUCGAAUUAAAGGCCAUUUUAGCUCUCACAACUACCCUUGAUUCCUCUUUCUCUCCCUCACAACGACCCUAAUUAAAGCAAUCUUUCGUAUAUUUUGACGGUUGUCCCUGAGCAGUGGAAGAAAGGACGUGGCGAGUUAGACAUUGAUGAUAUUGAUGGUGACGCCAGGAACAGUAAAAUGCCCCAACGAGGCCAGGCACUUGUUUGAAAAAAGGGAAAAUGUCACAAAUAAUCCCUAUAUUUUCACUUAAUGUCCAAUUUCGUCCCUGAACUUUUGAUUGGCUCAAUUUGGUCCCUGAACUAUUGAUAAAAUGUCCGAUCUAGUCCUUGAACUUUCGAAUGGCUCAAUUUGGUCCCUAAACUAUUAAUAAAAUAUCCGAUCUAGUCCCUGAACUUCGAUCGGCUCAAGUUGGUCCCUGAACAAUGAUGAAAUGUCCGAUCUAGUCCUUCAUUACUAUUUUUCUUUUUCUUUUUCCCUUUUUUCCUUUUUUUUUUCCUUUUUUUUCCCUUUUUUUCCCUUUUUUUUCCUUUUUUUCCCUUUUUUUUCGCUUUCCCUCUGCCGGAGCCGGCGGAGGGCCGGCGUCCGGCGAGGGAGCCCCUCGCCGGCGUCCCUCGCAAGCGGGCGAGGGGCUCUCCCUCGCCGGCGUCGGCGAGGGGCUCUCCCUCGCCGGCGUCGGCGAGGGGCUCUCCCUCGCAGAUCUGGCGAGGGGCCCUCCUCGCCGGCGUCUGCGCGGGGCUCUCCCUCACCAAAUCUGCGAGGGAGAGCCCCUCGCCCGCUUGCGAGGCCUAUUCCGAACUGAAUAGGCCCAGAACAAUCACGCUGGGCCGAAUGUGUUCAUUGGUCUAGGCCAGCCAGCUAGGCCGGAAAUUCUAGGGCCCAAAAUGUUUGGGCCGAGCCCAUUUUCCUAUAAAAGCCCGGCUUGCCCAACCCAUUUGUAUCCCCGUAACGUCGUGUUUGAAAGAUUAGCCUCUUGUCCACCAUUAGACGUGUUCAAUGGGAACCGUAGCUAGGCCCCCUUGGAGAUCUCACCUGGAACCACCNNNNNNNNNNNNNNNNNNNNNNNNNNNNNNNNNNNNNNNNNNNNNNNNNNNNNNNNNNNNNNNNNNNNNNNNNNNNNNNNNNNNNNNNNNNNNNNNNNNNNNNNNNNNNNNNNNNNNNNNNNNNNNNNNNNNNNNNNNNNNNNNNNNNNNNNNNNNNNNNNNNNNNNNNNNNNNNNNNNNNNNNNNNNNNNNNNNNNNNNNNNNNNNNNNNNNNNNNNNNNNNNNNNNNNNNNNNNNNNNNNNNNNNNNNNNNNNNNNNNNNNNNNNNNNNNNNNNNNNNNNNNNNNNNNNNNNNNNNNNNNNNNNNNNNNNNNNNNNNNNNNNNNNNNNNNNNNNNNNNNNNNNNNNNNNNNNNNNNNNNNNNNNNNNNNNNNNNNNNNNNNNNNNNNNNNNNNNNNNNNNNNNNNNNNNNNNNNNNNNNNNNNNNNNNNNNNNNNNNNNNNNNNNNNNNNNNNNNNNNNNNNNNNNNNNNNNNNNNNNNNNNNNNNNNNNNNNNNNNNNNNNNNNNNNNNNNNNNNNNNNNNNNNNNNNNNNNNNNNNNNNNNNNNNNNNNNNNNNNNNNNNNNNNNNNNNNNNNNNNNNNNNNNNNNNNNNNNNNNNNNNNNNNNNNNNNNNNNNNNNNNNNNNNNNNNNNNNNNNNNNNNNNNNNNNNNNNNNNNNNNNNNNNNNNNNNNNNNNNNNNNNNNNNNNNNNNNNNNNNNNNNNNNNNNNNNNNNNNNNNNNNNNNNNNNNNNNNNNNNNNNNNNNNNNNNNNNNNNNNNNNNNNNNNNNNNNNNNNNNNNNNNNNNNNNNNNNNNNNNNNNNNNNNNNNNNNNNNNNNNNNNNNNNNNNNNNNNNNNNNNNNNNNNNNNNNNNNNNNNNNNNNNNNNNNNNNNNNNNNNNNNNNNNNNNNNNNNNNNNNNNNNNNNNNNNNNNNNNNNNNNNNNNNNNNNNNNNNNNNNNNNNNNNNNNNNNNNNNNNNNNNNNNNNNNNNNNNNNNNNNNNNNNNNNNNNNNNNNNNNNNNNNNNNNNNNNNNNNNNNNNNNNNNNNNNNNNNNNNNNNNNNNNNNNNNNNNNNNNNNNNNNNNNNNNNNNNNNNNNNNNNNNNNNNNNNNNNNNNNNNNNNNNNNNNNNNNNNNNNNNNNNNNNNNNNNNNNNNNNNNNNNNNNNNNNNNNNNNNNNNNNNNNNNNNNNNNNNNNNNNNNNNNNNNNNNNNNNNNNNNNNNNNNNNNNNNNNNNNNNNNNNNNNNNNNNNNNNNNNNNNNNNNNNNNNNNNNNNNNNNNNNNNNNNNNNNNNNNNNNNNNNNNNNNNNNNNNNNNNNNNNNNNNNNNNNNNNNNNNNNNNNNNNNNNNNNNNNNNNNNNNNNNNNNNNNNNNNNNNNNNNNNNNNNNNNNNNNNNNNNNNNNNNNNNNNNNNNNNNNNNNNNNNNNNNNNNNNNNNNNNNNNNNNNNNNNNNNNNNNNNNNNNNNNNNNNNNNNNNNNNNNNNNNNNNNNNNNNNNNNNNNNNNNNNNNNNNNNNNNNNNNNNNNNNNNNNNNNNNNNNNNNNNNNNNNNNNNNNNNNNNNNNNNNNNNNNNNNNNNNNNNNNNNNNNNNNNNNNNNNNNNNNNNNNNNNNNNNNNNNNNNNNNNNNNNNNNNNNNNNNNNNNNNNNNNNNNNNNNNNNNNNNNNNNNNNNNNNNNNNNNNNNNNNNNNNNNNNNNNNNNNNNNNAGGGGCUCCCUCGCAAGAUCGGCAAGGGACUCGCCCGCUUGCGAGGGACGCCGGCGAGGGGUCCUCGCCGAUCUGGCGAGGGGCUCCCUCGCCGAACGCCGGCCCUACGCCGGCUCCGGCAGAGGGAAAGCGAAAAAAAAAAAAGGAAAAAAAGGGAAAAAAGGGAAAAAAAGGAGAAAAAAAAGAAAAAUAGUAACAAAGGACUAGAUCGGACAUUUCAUCAUGGUUCAGGGACCAACUUGAGCCGAUCGAAAGUUCAGGGACUAGAUCGGACAUUUUAUUAAUAGUUUAGGGACUAAAUUGAGCCAUUCGAAAGUUUAGGGACUAGAUCGGACAUUUUAUCAAUAGUUCAGGGACCAAAUUGAGCCAAUCGAAAGUUCAGGGACGAAAUUGGACAUUGAGUGAAAAUAUAGGGACUAUUUGUGACAUUUUCCCUUGAAAAAACUAUAAUCGCUUUAGACUCUUCUUUUAGACUAAUAUGACCAUUUUAAGCUUUUUUUUUAAAUUUAAAUAAGGCCUACCUUAGGCCCUUAUUUGAGAAAAUGAGGGCACUAUUUGCCUUUAUUUGGAAUUUUUCCAAAUAUUUAUAUACAAUGAGCAUAAUUUGAGAUUUUUUGUGAUAUCAACAAAAUUUUGAGUCAUUUUUUCUAUAUGUAAUAGGUUCUCACGAAUUUUGAGAAACAAGAUGAUGUAUUUCUACGAGGCGUAUGAGACGCAAAAUAAUAAAAUCUCACCACAAAGAUAAAUCGUUUUAAAUGACCAAAAGAAGUCCGUCGAAAAAUAGGUGAAUUAUUUAUGAAUUAAUAAGUUAUUGGCGAUCAAACAACCCAAAAAAAAAAAAUAAUAAUAAUAAAAAUUGGCCACUACCAAAGGAAAACGUUCUAAAGGGAUUGGAUGAAUUAUUUUCUUAACCAUUGCGCUUUUGGAAGCCCCACUUUGCAGCAUUAUCUCAGGCAAGACCCCUUACAAGAUUGCCCUACAGUUACUUGAAGACGAAAUAAUCCAAGAACAUGUGAAUCUAGUGGUUUCUCCCCAAUUCAAGUCCUCGGACGUAUGAAAUCAUGUUACUAAAUCCUAAAACUUAUUGAAACUAUUUACAUGCAUCCUAAGAGGGGAUCAAGUUCAAGUUCCCUGCCGGAGUUGGCGGUGAUUGCCAAUGCCCAGCCACUCCCUUUUGUUUUUCGUUUUUUUUCCCUAAUUCUUAAUCUUAAAACUACUUUUUUCUGAUUUCUUUUUAGAACUUCUCUUUUUUGAUUUUUUUUUGUCUUAUUUUUGUCUUAGGGUGCUAAUUAACCCUUAUUUGGUUUGGUCGAUUAUUUUUCAUCAAUAUUACACUCGUAAAAAGGAGAUAAUACUAGAAAUAACAUGUUUAAAUACCCACGAGUGUUUUUAUUACACAUAAAAUUGUCUACUACAAAUGAGAAAUUACUUAUGUUCAGUAUAUGUUUUAGUAACUUUACUAGGAACAAAUGGUAAUGUGAUCCACAGUUCAAAAAAUGGAAGGUAAAGCUUGAUUGUAAUAUAUUAAUCUCCUAUUGAAGGUACCAAAUUAUCAAGUACACAUUUAGAGAUCUGAGAGUUCUCAUUAUCCUUGACGAUGUUAGUGAUUUUAAACAAAUCAGUUCACCGGCUGGAGAUCUAAGUUGGUUUGGUUCGGGAGCAGGAUCAUUGUGAUCUCUGUGACAAGCAAUCUUGUUGACAAGUAUAAUGAGGUGCCUGUGACCCCUACAAGCAGCAGUACUGUUAACAUUCUCGUUCAAAAGUACAAACUAAAACAAAUGAAUUAUGACCAUGCUUUUCAGCUAUUCUGUAAUGCUCUUAGAGAAAAACUUCUUAAAAAGGAAUUUUCCUCUUUGGCAUGUGAAAUUAUAUUGGUUGCUGGAGGAAUUCCUCUGGUUAUUAACGUUGUUAGUUCAUUUUUACGUGGAAAGCCCAUAGAGUUUUGGAAGGAGGCAUUGGAUGGAUUGAACCGAGAGCCUUACUCUAAGGAAAUAAAACAUAUUCUGAAGAGAAGAUAUGAUGAUUUAGAUAAAAAUGCUUGAGAGAUAUUUCUCGAUAUAGUUUUUUUUUUUUUGUGGGAAAGGACUAGACAAUGACCUCUUACAUACAGGAAGAUGGGAAAUAUGAUCCUUAUAGAGGAAUCAAUGUGCUUCAUAACAUGUCUAUGGUAAAAAUCAGAGAAAACAAUGAAUUGUGGAUGCAUAAUCAACUAAAAUUCCUUGGGAGGGAGAUUGUCGAGGAAGAAAAUCCAAGUGAACCUUUCAAGCGGAGCAGGCUAUGGAAUUGGGAGGACAUUGAACCAAUAUUGAAUGAAAGGACGGUAAAUCUAGAAGACAAAGAUGUCUCUUUUAUAGUUUGCAUUACAAUACUUCUUUUGAAUACUUAAAAUGCAUCUCUUUCACUUUCUCCUUUUACGAUUGUUCCAGGAUUGGCAGGAUGCUGCAGUUGAAGCCCCUUAGUGACACAUUCGACAACCCCAUUUAUAUCCUAAACAUAGAUUCUUUAAUAAUUUCUCGAAGCUUAGGUAUAUGAAAAUGAACCAUGCUAUCGUAAAGCAUAUAAGCAGAGUGCAAAGAGCUCCAGAGAGGAUUUUUUCCUCUGAAGGUUAAAGUAGCUUGAAUGGCAAGGAUGCAACGAUAUCUCCACCCUGCUAGCUUUAGAUCUGUCAAAAUUGAUCGUUCUUGAUUUGUCUAGGAGUACCUCCAGCAAUUGGAAGCGCUGGAAACAAAUUAUGAUGGCAUACCUGCACUUUUUUUUUUUUGGCAUCAAAUUCGACAUCAGCUUGUAGAAACAUGGCUUUUAUAUUAUUCUCUUGUUUUGCAGAGGUUCAACAACUUGAAAGCUUUGAUCCUAAAAGGUUUUCCAUGCUCCUGUAAACUUAGAGAGACUAACCCUGGGAAAUUGUUCUGCAUUACCUCCGGUUGUUGUCAUGUUGUUGACACCUAAAUUUUGGUGACCCAUUUAGUCAUUUAUCGCCUUAAAAAAUUAGGGAUUAAUUUUAUCCCUGAAAAAAUAUUAAUUGCAUAGCAUAUAGGUUUAAGUGCAUUUGUUUUUAAUUUGCAUUUGUUUUACAUUUAUUUACUGGACCGGUGGCGGUUGGGUCGAAUUAGUAGUUUUGGGUUUUAAAUUAGCAGGCUGGGCUAGGCCCACGAAAGGAGAAAAUUAACCCAAGCCCGUCGUUAUGUUAAAUUAAUUAUCUUGUGAAAAAUUAAGAUUUGAUGUGAUAUUAUGAUGAUUUUUGGAAAUUAAAAAAUCGCAUUGUAAUCUUAUCUUUAUCAAUAGAUGAUGAAAUCGGGGGAGAAUAUUUUUGAGAUAAGGAUUUUUGUGAUCAAGAGGUUAUAAGCAAUAUUCAUGAGAUGAAAAUAUUAACAAAAAAGAUCAUGUUUUGUUUCGCCUAUAAAAGGAUGCGUACAGAGAUCAAUGGGGAGGAGGGGUUUUUUCUAGGGUUUUUCUCUUGGUCGAAAUAAAAAAAGAGAGAUAAAAAGGCUUUCUUCCUCGUCCAUCUUCAGUCAAAGGAGAGCUUUUUCUCUAUUCUUUUCUUGAAAAACCGCAAAAAAGAAGAAGGAAAAGUCUGCAAGGAGAGUGACGUGAGAGUGUUUUUUGGGAUUUGUUGAUAGUACUUUAAUUUUUGAAUCAAUAUAAUUAUUAAUUUGAUCCAUAAGAAUUUGGAUCAGAUUUUUAGUUAUUUUGAACUAUUUGUCGUGAUAAUUAGGGUUAGGAUAAUUGUUAAUUUGACCUGUAAGACAACAGGUUAUUUUUUCGUUUAUUUUGAUCCUUUAUUUGAUUGAAUGUCUUGAUUAGUUUAAAUACAAUAUUUAUUUGAUAAUUGCUUGUUUUGGAGAAUCACUAAAAAAUCCAAAAAAUAUUUGAAUUAGGAUUCAGUUUGUUUUGGAAUAUUUCUUGUUAUAUUUUAUAUCUAGUAUAGGGAUUUAAUUUCGAAUUUUAUAAAAAUAAAAACACAAAAGAAUCAUCAUGCAUAUAUCAUGUAGAAUUAGGGCAUUCUUUGUAUGUCAUGGCAUCUUAGGAUAAAAUUGCAAAUUUCAUUUUAAAUUCACUUCAUUAUUUAGAAUAGAUUGCAUUUUUAGGAUAAAAAAUCAUAUGCACAUCAUAUAGAAUUAAGUUCAUGAAAUGCACGUCAUUUAGUAAUUGUUGUUACGUUCAUUAUAAUAGGAAUUGCUCAUCAUUAGACUAGGUCAUUUAAUAAAUGUCGCGUGACAUAUAGCUCGCAUAUUAGAUUGCAUGUUACAUGACAUUUUAGUUGAAAUAAUUUUGUAUGUCAUUGCAUUGCAUUAUAUGUCAUUAGAAUUAGGUCAUUUAGAUUGCAUUUAAUUAUUGCAUUUCUUCAUGUCAUAUAGUUUAGGUCAUGUAGUUAAAAUGCAUGUUUUUAUGAAAAAAUUCUAAUUUUAAGAAAACCAAAAAAAAAAAAAAAUGAUUGAUUGCUUUGUGUGAUGCAAUUUAUUUAUCUUUUUAUUCAAUGUUUAAUGAUGAUUGAGCAUCUGUGUGAUCAUCAUUUUGCAUGAUAGAAAUUUAGGUUAAAAUAAAUCAGCUGCCUGCAAAAAAAAACAUUUUUGAAAACAAAAAGAAUGGUACCGAAAGGACAUUAGAGAAAUCUAAUGUAACCAAGUCCCCGUACCCAUAGUCUUUGGUUCGUAGGAGUAAAAUAAUCCUCCAAUUAUUUUACUUAGGUGUCUAAUCGACCUACCAUAAACCGAUUAGUGGCGACUUCUAGUUAUUAAUCAUUCGUAUGUUAGAUAAUUGAACCUUAAGUCACGAUUUGGUAUGGGUUUGGGAGAGCCCGAGCUAAGCUUAAAAACUUAGUAGUCCAUUAGCCUAACCAUAGGUGGUUCACACUCGAAAAAUUGGUCGCGACACAUGUCCAUUAGCAAGCUAAGGAACUUAGUUUAUUUGGAUAUCAAGUUUUGCACCUUCGUGCAAGAGUUACCAAAAGAUAUAGGUUGCUUGGAAGCUUUGAGAGAGCUAUAUAUCGAUGGAACUUCCAUUCGAGCCCUUGAGUUCCCGGACGGUAUGUUGUGAAAAAAUGCCAAAAGAUGCACCAAUCGAAGCACAAGUAGCAAAGGAUAAAAGGAAAAUCGAAAUUACACGAGCCGCAAGAUUUACAUGGAAAACUCAAAACGAGAAAACCACAGGGAGAGAGGGACACGUGCCACAUAAGUUUGUGAGUCACAUCUUCAUUUAAUGACUAGCCUCGAAAGGACAUGUGCUACUCAUUCUCCAAGCCACUCUUAAUUGGUCCACCAAAACUUGUGAGUCACAAUUUUAUCAUUACUUGGCUUGACUUAAUCUCCAAGGAAAAUCUUAUGGUAACAAUGAUCAAAUCCUUAAAUGGCCACCUAAGCUAGUGAUUCAUCCCUUCAUUUAAUGCUUAAGAUAUGGCCAUCAUAAGUCUUGGAUUUUUUUUUUUUGGCACAUUUGUCAUGGCUAUUCUUGCUCAUGGGGCAGUUCACUUAAGCCACAAAUUACUAACUUAUUCAUUAAGACAAAUAUUUUAGUAUUAUUACAUGAUCUUAAGAUGGACACCUAAGAUGCUGAUAAGGUUUCUUGCAUUUAAUGCUUGGAUUUGUGUAAUCAUUAGAUUUGGAUAUUUCUUGUAUGGCCUACUUUCAAGAUUUUGCUCCCUAAGCUAAAUUCUCUUAAACCUUCCCUUGAUUGGUUCAUUUGUGCUAUGACUCAUCAACUUAAUCCUCAAGGCAAAUAUUUGGUAAUCAUUACCAAAUCUUCUCACGGUCAGCUAAGGUGAUGAAUUACCCCAUUUCAUUAAAUGACUAAGAGGUUCUAGAAUAUUAUAUUUUGUUUAUUUCCAAAGAAUAUGGCGAACAUGGGAAAUUGGCCAUUAAAAGCGCAAUUGGGACCGAGAAAGGGCUUUUUAUGGACAUUCUCAAAUGACCAUUCUGACGCACCCGAGGUUCGUGGCAAAGCCAUCCUUGAGAUGCGUGUCAUAAGUUAAAAUCACUCUCUCAGAUAAGUGAAUGAUCUGGGGCUAGGGCUUAAUGGUUGGGCCUUGGACUAGUCAGGCGGUCCUUUGGCCGAUCUGCAAGUAGUUCCUUCAACCUAUCAUGUGGCCAAUCCUUGACCUACUAGUCGGAAGCAAAAGAGGGAUCGAAAUCGAGGAUGUUACAUUUCACUUAGAACCUCGAUGCUUCUUUCGCCAAUAUGUCCCAAAAAAGUAUGCCCACAAUUCAGACUCUCAAACUUAUGCACCUGACGUUGUCGAGUGAAAUCCAUCACUCUCCCCCUUGAAGCUCAUAUAGAGUAUUGUGUUUGAUUCCUCUCAUCAUCACCAAGGCACCUCAAACGACCUUUAGAACACCAUAUUUUGAAACGUACCAAUACCCAACUGAAUUCGAGAUUCCAGGACAUAUCUCACUCCGGUCAAUAUCUCACGAUGACGUUAUGCAAUGUAAUUCCGACAAUUGCUCCACCACGAAAUUGCUCCUAUCAGGUUCCCAUCCCCACAGGGAGAGAAUCUUUGAGUUUCCCCGAAAAGCACGUCGCAUGUCCAUAUUUCACUUUUCCAUCCUCUCAAUUCAUUCUGUUCUUAGGCAUCAAGUAUUGAGACGGUGAAAGAGAAUUUGGAAACAAUCUCAGACUUGACCAUGAAAAGUGAAAAUGGAGAUUAAAGACCAGGUGUAGUUUUUUAGAACAAGAAUUUAAUAAAUCAAAGGUUCGUCUUCGGAUGUCACAAAUAUCUCUGUUUCUUCGGAGACUAUAACUUUCCUACGCGAUACGCACAAACCUGAGAAAUAAAUUAAAAGUGAUUUAAACGGUAAACUUUGGCAAAUGUCUGUCAUCUGUCAAAAGAAUUGUAAUCUUUUUUCUCAAUAAAUUAAGUGUAGCACGGCUAGUGUGAUGGCACCGCCGUUCACUUAAAAGACAACCGUGUUCCAACCUAUGGGAACCGGCAUCUUGUAAAAUGACGACUUUUCUUUCGCGGGUUUCAGUAGGCCAACGUUCAGAAUGCAACUUGAGCACGUUUGAAGUUAGGUUAUGGGGUCAACUUACAAAAAAAACACACCACAUACUCAUCCGUACAAAAAUCAUCAAUUGUGAAGUUCAACAAAUCAGUAUUAUGAUGUUAACGUGCAAGCAUAGAUAUCUGUUAUUUCACGGAUAUAAUCUCCUCCUCUGCCCAUCAUCUUAAUAUCCCCGGAUAGAUCCAUUGGUGACACAUUCGAAGCCAAUCAUUUGUCUGCUGUUCUCGUUGCUGCAGAUAUGGAAUGAUGCCUUCGUUGCACACUUGUUGUCUGUCUGAGGCACGCGAUAAUGUUUACAAGGGUGGCUCUGAGCUUGAAAACGUUGUUUGGAUGCUGUUUUACCAGCAGAAACUCAGUUAUAAUUUCAUCGACUGUUGCUUUUGCACAUCAUUUAAUAAUCAUUCUAUGUGGUCAUGGUCCAACAUUGUGGCUAAUUCCUGUUUCAGAGAGCAACGCACAGACAGAAGAGAUUAAUCAGCCAAACUGCCUCUACUCUGCUUCUCCUCUUUGAUUUCCUCCUAAAUCAGAAGUCAGUUUAGUACUGUAUCAGCUGAACAACAUCUAUGGAAUCCUGCCUUCCAAUUCUUCUACAUAGCUUGUGCUUCAUGUCCCUUGUGUUGCAGAUGAGCUAUGCGCUGGACUCCAUUUCAGCUGGCGAGAACAUCACAGAUGGCCAAACGAUAGUCUCUGCCGGCAGGAACUUUGAGCUAGGAUUCUUCAGCCCUGGCAGCUCCAAGAACCGGUAUGUGGGCAUAUGGUACAAGAAGCUAUCGGCCGGGACGGUGGUUUGGGUCGCAAACCGAGAAAAUCCCCUGAAUGACUCUUCAGGAGUCCUAAAGCUCACUCCUCAGGGUGUACUGACUCUCCUGAACCGUACCAAUGGGGUUGUUUGGUCCUCAAAUGUGUCGAGAUCAGGCCAGGAUCCAAUUGCACAGCUUUUGGAUUCUGCCAAUUUCGUCGUAAAAGAAGGAAAUGGCAAUGACUUGGGUGAUGCAAUCUGGCAGAGUUUUGAUCACCCUUGUGUUCGUUUUUGGCUGGCAUGAAGCUUGGUAUAGACCGAGCAAAAGGCCUGGACCGGUACUUGACCUCAUGGAAAAGCAGGGAUGACCCUUCACCGGGUGAUUUCACAUAUAGGCUCAAUCCUUCAGGAUAUCCGCAGAUGAUCCUGAUGAACAAAUCAGUAGUGCUGUCCAGUUCGGGACCUUGGAACGGCAUUCGGUUUAGCGGGAUCCCUCAGUUGAGGACAAAUCCAGUCUUUAGGUUUGGCUUCGUCUUCAACCAAAAUGAAAUUUACUAUUACUUCAAUGUUCUGAAAAGUUCCGUCCCGUCGAUGGUGGUUUUAAAUGAGAAUGGUAUCGUUCGGCGCUUCACUUGGGUAGACCGGACAAAGAGUUGGUUUCUGUAUUUGUCUCCUCAAACAGAUGACUGUGACACUUAUGCAUCAUGUGGAGGGAAUGGGAAUUGCACCAUUGCUAGCUCUCCAAAAUGCAUGUGCUUGACAGGGUUCGUGCCCAAAGACCCUAGCGAUUGGGAAUCUGGGGAUUGGUCAAACGGGUGUGUCCGGAGGACCGAACUGGAUUGUCCGGGAGGAGAUAAGUUUCUGAAGUACACCCAAGUGAAGUUGCCUGACGCGAGGCAAUCGUGGUUCAACGAGAGCAUGAACCUUCAAGAAUGCGAGCAAACAUGCUUGAGGAACUGCUCGUGCACGGCUUAUUCAAACCUGGAUAUCAGAGGGCAAGGAAGUGGAUGUUUACUUUGGUUCGGUGAUCUGAUGGAUAUCAGACAGGUGAACGAGAACAUCCAGGGUAUUUACGUAAGGAUGGCUGCAUCAGAAGUUGGUACGUGUUCGAACCCUGAGUUACUUUCGAUAUGAUGACCCGAGGAAGAGAAUGAGUUCGAAAUAACUGUCGGACUCUUACUGACUCUAUUUUCAAUUUAUUGUAAUGUGUAUUAAGGCAGCAAUUUCAGUGGAAAUCCUGGCGCAAGGAAAAGCACGGGCAUCAUUGUCGGCGCCGUGCUGUCUGCGGUGCUUCUUCUUGGCAUCGCGGCUGUUUUCACAAAGUAUAGGAGAGAUGGUAAAAUCGUUUUUAUCAGAAAAUUACGCUUUCCAAGCAAGAUGCUUUUCUUGAUCCACAAGAGUCGUUUUUAACUCUUGUUAGCAUAGGUUUUAAAUGAUGCUGCUCUGCAUCAAAUGCAAAGUUUCAUCAUAUCAUCUCCCUUUGAAAAUUUCAAUCAAUUGGCCUGAAAAAUAUGAAUGGACCAAAUGUGUGUUUGAUGUGAAACGUUGCGGAAAUAUCGUUCUACAAAGGCCUGGAUAGUGCGAAUUGCAAACCUCGACCUCCAAUCAAAACUUUGCACAGGGGAGGGAAUGAUGUGGACAUUGAGCCAUAUCGAGGAGGAAGUGCUAGGGACUGAUUGUCUAUUCCUACUGGUUCGAUUAGUCGAGCGCAUGCCAAGCAAUUCAGGUAAGCUGUUGGCGUGAUGGUUCGUGAACUUUGGCGUGGAGAUAACCUUGGAUCAAAUCUUGAAAAAUCUUGGAAAUCUUGGCAUAAUCUUUGGCGUGGAGAUGAUCUUGGAUCGAAUCUCGAAGAAUCUUGGAAAUCUUGGUGCAAUUUGAUUAUCUGGUCAUCAAAUAUUUGACCAAGUCAAAAAAAUUAUCUUCUUAUUUAGAUAUAUUCUAGAAUAUGACGUAUUAGAUUUCUAGGGAUAGUUUUAGGGUUUGCGUGGCAACUAAAAGGCCGACUAGCCAACUUCCUUUGGAGACAGAUAUAUUUUUAUUUUUGAGGAAAAGAAUUGAAAGGUUCUCUUCUACUGCUCUUUUGAGGACUUGACAUUAUCAAGAUUUUCUUGUGAUAGUUGAUUCGACUUAUCGAGUGAGAUAGCGAAUUCUUUCGCUCGUGGCGUCUAUAACGUUGGUUGGUUGACACGCGUUUGUCAACAGGUCAUGUUCAUAACAAGAUUGCCAAUCACAGGUUUGAUUGGAGGUCGAGGUUUGCAAUUCGCACCAUUUGGGCUUUCGUAGAAUGUUCUUUCCGCAACGAUUCACAUUAGUGUUGCUUUGAAUUUUGUUUUGGGAUUUUUAAAGCUCAAUUAUGAUUUCUCUUUAGUUGAUGAAUUUACUCACUUUAAUUUCUACUUGUAGGACAAAUCUUUGGAUUCUCCCAUCAAAGCCGUAGUGAAGAUCUAGACUUACCUAUGUUCGACCUCACAACCCUGGUGAACGCGACAGGUAACUUCUCUGAAGACAACAAACUCGGAGAGGGAGGCUUUGGAGCUGUCUAUAAGGUAACUAUUCUCAUUUUUUGGAAUUCUAAAUCUGCACGUACAUAUCCAAAUGCACAAUUGAAAAGGGAGCAAAGGAACUUCUGUCUUUUAGGGUGUUCUGAGGAAUGGCCAAGAAAUUGCCGUGAAAAGGCUGUCGGAAAACUCUAGGCAGGGACAGGUCGAGUUCAAGAACGAAGUCGCUUACAUCGCGAAACUUCAGCACCGAAACCUCAUCAAGAUUCUGGGAUGCUGCAUUCAAGUAGAUGAAAUGAUGUUGAUCUAUGAGUUCUUGCCCAACCGAAGCUUGGAUUGUUUCAUUUUCGGUUUGCUUCGCUCCAGUUCCUACAUUUUAAUUGCUUUUGUCAUCGAAAAAGAGUGAAGAAGCUUCCAUUUCAUAACUCAUGAGGCCUAUAAUUUGGCAGACCAAGAGAAGGGUGUUUCCCUGGAUUGGCCUAGGCGCUUCACUAUCAUCAAUGGCGUAGCUUUGGGGCUUCUAUACCUUCACCGAGACUCAAGAUUAAGGAUUAUUCAUAGAGAUCUGAAAGCUGAAAAUAUCCUGCUCGACAACGAAAUGAAUCCAAAGAUAUCGGACUUUGGUUUGGCGAGGAGUUUCGGAGGUAAUGAGAGCGAAGCAAAUACAAAGAGAGUGGUGGGAACAUUGUGAGUUCUCUUGACAAAUGAUCUCCACUGAUUUUGGUCCAAUUGCUUCAAGAACUAAUCAUUCCUUUCAACAACUUUUUUGCAUAGCGGUUACAUGUCCCCAGAGUAUGCCAUCAACGGCUUUUAUUCGGUAAAAUCAGAUGUCUUCAGUUUUGGCGUUUUAGUACUGGAAAUCGUGAGCGGGAAAAGAAAUCGAGGUUUCAAUCAUCCUGACAAGCAUUUAAACCUUCUCGGAUAUGUAAGCGUAAAGAGAUCAGAUCUCUUUGCUUAUUUAUCUUCAGUUAGUUUCUAGUCUUAUUCUAGAUGACUAACACAAUAAUGCAGGCCUGGACACUCUCAAGAGAUCAAAAGUUCAUGGAGCUCGUCGAUCCAUUGAUUGUAUCCACAUUUAACCCUGUGGAAGUUUUACGAUCCAUCCAUGUGGCUUUGUUGUGUGUUCAAAAUAACCCGCACGAUAGACCAGAGAUGUCAUCUGUGGUUAUGAUGUUGAACAGUGAGAGCACAUUGCCUCAGCCUAAACAGCCUGGUUUUUUUUACGAGACAUCUGCAUCCGAAGCAAGUUCUUCAAGCGACAGCAGGCAUAAGAAAUAUUCAGCCAACGAAAUAACUAUUUCACAUUUACUGCCUCGAUGAUAUUUCUGUAAUUUCAAUUAUGUUUAUAUUGAUCCCAUAUGAAUACGAGAGGAUCGUGGCAUUUGUAUGAGAGUCAUCUCUUAAUCUGGAAUUGAAAGACCUUACGGGGACAUGUGAAAGAUUGCGCCUUUUGUUCUUCCAAAAUUUGCUGGAUUCCGGUCAGGAAACAAAGAAUGUGUACACGGACCACAAAGUGAAAAUUUCAGUCUUUUCUUGUUAUGAUAUUCUAGCAAAGAAACCCUUGAAUACCUUAUUAAGAAUACCCGUAACUUAGGGAAGUAAACUCGCAUUUUCGAAAGAAUCCUUAAUGUUUCAAUGUCUGAUUCAGUUUGAAUCGACAAAAUUAUAAAUUAGGGAAAAAGUGGCCAUAACUACAAGCGAGAUCGUAAUCAGUACUAAAACCGUUGCUCUGUCAAGAUCUGCACAGUGAUGUUUCUUCUAUUCUAUCACGCCAAAAUAACCAUGUCCUUCAAAUCACAUCGUGCAUUACAGUGACAUCAACAAGCUCAAAUGCACCUAAAACAGGGGAAAAGGAAAAGGAAUUGACUUCCCAAAAAUAUUGGCUAUAAAUGAAAGAUUCUUGUAUCAUCUUAAGAGCCAUUUUUGGGACUCUAGACGAACAGAAUAAGAACUGAAAUCUUACACAGCAUAGAGGUGUUGGAAAAUGCAUAAAGAAGUAGGAAUUGUGUGGGAAUGAGAUUGACUGACCUCCUUGCUACUGUAGUCAAUGGGCACAAGCCAUUGCAAUCACUAGAUUGGCCCAAACAGUUCACUAUCAUCAAGGCAAUGAGAACGGAGCUAUUCUAGUUGAUAUUGCGAUGAACAUGAAGAUAUUGGACUUUGAUUCACCAAGAUGUUUCUGAUGUAAUGAGAGGGAAGGAACCAAACACAGAGACUAAGGGAGCUGUCCGAACAUGGUGAGUCCUCUACUGAAACAUCUGAAUUAUGCUUAAAUUUGCUUCAAGAACUAAUACUUCUGUGUGAUAAUUGAAUCUUGUGGUUAUAAACCCUCUCAGUAUGCCAUCGAUACUGAAUAGACUCGAAUUUCAUCGGUCCAGUUAUUUAGCCAUCCCAAUCAUAGGCCCGGGAUGCCUCUGUGGUUAUGAUGCUUGGGGUUGAGCGCAUUGCCUCAGCCUAACUAGUUCAAUUAUUCCUUAGAGGAGAUUAUAUUCAAAACAAGUUCUUCAAGUUACGGUGAGUACCCAAGAUUUUCAGCCUAAUUAAAUGACCAUUUCCGGUAAAAUCUAGACAGACAAAUCUGCUAGCUCCUGCUGACCAACCAUCAUGAUUUGGUAUGGCAAAAAAAACUGAUGGUGUUUAAUCUAACAUUAUGAAGUUAUCACUACCAUUUAUUAUAUCAAGAAUUUUACAUUACAUAAAGGAUCAGUUUACAUUCAUGAGUGCUGUUGGCGCUUGUACCUUGCAUCAAAUUAUAUUAAAUGUUCCAUGAGGUUGCACUUCAGAGAGUUUAAACAGUCAAGAAGGAGAACCUAAUCACACGUGCACUUUUUACAUAAUACAGUAUAAUAGUUUAGGCUGCACAAAAUUAUAUCUUUACCCAUUCUAGGCCCGAUUUCCCAUCUGGUGUGUUGCUCUGUUGAAGUUCCAAGUAGUCCUUGUACUUCAUCUAGUUGUCCACGGCUCAGUUGUUCUCGCCAUCCACUAGCUGCUCCACUGGCAUGACAACAGUGUCCAGCGACGGUCCACUAGAUAGAGAGAUUGAUAGCCUUG